RNAcentral lists this long non-coding RNA (52548 nucleotides) under Gossypium raimondii (Peruvian cotton). RNAcentral's name for it is "long non-coding RNA (GRAI_LNC010738)". The record is from RNAcentral. Lineage: Eukaryota; Viridiplantae; Streptophyta; Magnoliopsida; Malvales; Malvaceae.
CCUUAUAGAGUAUCAUUUGAAUAGAGUAUCAUUUGAAUUGAGCGUAAGUAAAUCCGAUGUAAGUAUCGCUAAUUUUUGUGGCAAGGUUUUUAGUUAUUGGUAUUUAGUUUUCAUUUUGAUGUGUUACAAAUUUUGUUGAUUUUUAGUUUUGGGUUUUCUGAUAGGAGAAGAACGUGAGGAGUUCAACGUUCUUCUAGCGAAUUUAGUGUUUUAGGCCGUUGUUUCUGUCAAGGGUAAGCGACUAAUGUUUUCGUGUAGAGUAUGAUACUUUUUGUUAAGGAUUAUUGAUAUCGGAUGAUGCCGAUUUAAUGGUUUGAUUUGAGUGAGUAUCAAUGCUAAAUGGUGAGUUUUCAUUGACGUUUUAGGUAACGAAAACCUCAUGGAGGUGUCAUUGUCAGAACUGCGUUUAGGUGUCUAAUUUUAACACAGAAACGCGUUUAGAACUCGAAACAAAACUCAAAAACAGAGGUUGUUUUUGAAACUGUUCUGUGUCACACAACUCUAUUGCUUGGUGUGUGUUAGGCCGUGUGGGACACAUGGGCGUAUGUGAUCACACGGGCAUAUUAGGUAGGCCAUGUGGGCCACACGGGGUUGAUUUAUUGGGUCGUGUGGGCCACACGGCCGUAUGGGCCCAUUUUUUGUAAGGUUUUCACUUAGGCUUUUUUCACCUAUAAAUACGUAAUUGGGCCUUUCGUGGGGUCCGUUUGGCUGAAAUAAGUCUCGAAAUGUGAUUUCUGUCAGUAUGUGAUAUGGUUAAGGUAAUUGAAACAUUUUGGUAUGAUCGGUGUUUUGAUAACUUUGAAAGCACAAUUACAUGUAAAAAACAUCUAUGACAUCUGUAUGUAGAAUAACCGUAAGUGAAGUAAUUUGGUAAGAUAUGAGCUGUAUAAGUUAUGUGUUGUGGUAUGCUCUGUAAAACAUAUGUUUAGGUAUGCGGGGCAUACAACCUAUAUGAAAUGUAUGUAUGUUAACACGAUUUUGCAUAUGUACUCAGUGGAUUUUGAUAUGACGUAGGAAGUGUUCUCUAGAUGUUUUACUGUAAUUUUGGUGGUUAAAGCACAAUAUCUUUCUGGCAGCUCAAUUUCAGCAUUAUGAGUGGCAUACCACCACAACCCGGUGUGAUUGGAUGGAUGGACUCUUGAAGUUCUAAUUGGUGUGAUUAGUUGGAAGGAGUUGGUGUGUAGCGGAUGGGGGUAGGAUCUGUGUCUGCAUUUGUAUCCGGAUAUGAAUACGCAUCUGUAUCUAAUUAUGAACACAUAUCUGAUUCUAUAUAAGAGAAUGUGUUUGAGAUUAUGAUUAUGAAAUUGUGAAAUUCUGUAUUUGAUUAUGAACACAUUUGGAUAUGUUAUAUGGUUCUAAAAAUAUGACAUUCUGAUCUGGUAUAUGUUUCUGGAAAUGUGACAUUUUGAUAUGAUAAUUGUAUAAGUGUAUUUUAUAAGUAAAAUUCUUUGAUGACAUUUAAAUUUGUGCAUGUUAUAUGUAAAAAUUUUGUUUGUAGGCCGAGUCAAACACUAGGCUUCUAGCUCACCCGUUUGUUUAACAUGUUUAAGGUGAAAUUCAGAUUUAGGAUCGGACGGUGUGCGGGAGCUCGAAUUGGUUAUUUUAUGAUGCAUGUAAGUUUGAUUUAGCUUAUUUUUUAUGAUUAGUCUGUUUUUGAGUUAGUUAAAAUGAUAUUAUCUAGUAUUGGGACUAAUUUAUGAAAUUGAUGAAGUUUAGAAAAAAUGUCCAUUGAUGUUCUCAAUGUUACUUGAUAUUUAUGUUUUCGAUUGAAGUAAAUGAUAGGUUUUUAGGUAUUUGGUAAAGUGAGUUUGAGUGUGUAACGCCCCGAAAUUUCUAAUUUCGUUAUUGUGAAAAUAUGACACAAAUAUCUAUGAGCUUUAGUGGUUAUGUGUUCUGGGAGUGUUUGGGAGGUCCUAAGUUCAAGCCUUCACUUGGAAAAAUUUUGGUAUUUUGAAUGAAUUAGGCCUUACUCUUGUUCAGUAGGCUUUUAUUUGAUUGUUGGGUAAAUUAUAUUAGAAUGGGUCUGUUAGUCUGGUGGUUAAAUGGUGUGUUAUUAUGGUGGAGGUCUUGUGUUCGAAUCCUUAUGCAGGCAAGGGUAUUAUUUUUUUGGCUUAGAUUUCGGGAUAGAGUUGUGAAAUAGGGGGAUUCUGAGUAGUGGGAAUUAGGGGAGAAGAUUAAGGGAUUUUGGGGGUUAUCGGGAUUUUAUUUUAUUUUUUUCCCAUAACAGAAUUUUGACUCUCUUUUCCAAAAAAAAUUCUCCCGUCUAUUCUUCUCCCUCUCCUCUUGUCGAAAUUCUCUGAGUUUUUCCAUCUCUCUCUUCUUUUUCUUCUUCUUGAUUUUUCCCUAAUCCAUUUAUUUUCUUUCGUUUUCGCACGCGGUUAGUGCCGACUUAGUUUCGGUAAGUGUUUCUCUUCGUUUCUAUCAUGAAUCUCUUAACGACUGAAGUGGUAAUGUUUUUUCUCUGCAAUUUGGGUGUAGGGGGAGGCUCGGACUGGUGAAUUCGGUGUUCUCGUCUUAACAAUAGUUAAGCGGAGGGUUAUCGUUGGUGGUAAGUUGGGUUUCUGUUCAUUCUUGGUUGUCAAUUCUCUUGUAAAUCCAUUAAAUUGAUGUUGAGUAUCUUGAUUAUAGGCUUUGGAGCGCUCGGAGAUUGUUUUAGCAUCAAACAAAACCAUAUGUGUACCCGAAACGCAAAAAAAAGGGAUUCGGCGAAAAGCCAAAAUUGUUUGCUGUUUGGACAGCAGUAGUAGGCUAACUUUAAAAAAUUGCCAUAAAUUAUGGAAAUCGAAUCAGAGGAUGAAUAAAGUAUGAAAUUAAAUCUUAUUGAGUCUAGUUUCUCAUAGAAGAAACAAUGUAAGUAAUGGAAUUGUAAAUCAUGAGGUAUAAUAAACUUUGUGAGACAAGGUCAGAAUGAAUUUGGGUUCCCGUGUUCUGACUUUGGAAAAUGAUAAAAAAUUGGAGCAAAAUAAUUAGGGGUUAAAAUUUACAUGUUUAAAUUAUUAAUGAGCCUAUUUUCAAUAGAAACAAAUGGAAACAUCAUCCAAAUUUUGUACUAAGAGAUAAUUAAAUUUUAGCAAAGAAAGGGUAAGUUUGAAGAUUUUACUGUACUAAGGGAAGAAGCUAUCAGACAGCAGAACAUGGGUAAGUUUGUAGAUUUUACUGUACUUAUUGGCUGAACCAAAAAUUCUAAAUAUUUUAUGGUAGAAAGGUAUUUGAGUCUAGUUUCAAAGACAUCAAGCGGAUCUUAAUUCGGAAUUUUGUAGCUCAAGAUAUAAAUAAUUUAGUAACAAUGAUUCAAGUAGACAGCUUUGACGGAACAUAUAAGUAAAUAGUGAAAAUAUAUAUGAAUAAUUAACUAGCACGGGUUACAUUAAAAAUGGAUCACGUGGCCAAGGCCAAUUUGGGCCGAGUGGGCCACAUGGGUGUGUGAGCCCAUUUUUCUGAAAAGUUCUAUAAGGUUGCACGGGUCACCCAAGUCGAUUAUGGACCUACUGUAGGGUCGGAAUACUUUACUUAGACCCCUAUAUGUGUGAUCUGUCUGAUUUCUAUUCUGAGCAUGACUUAUGAUAUCUGAAUGUAUGUACUAUUAAUUGCAUAAUGGCAUGACAUAUUUUGUAUGUUGCAUUGCAUCGGGGUGGGUUGAUGAUAUUUGGAGGAAGUGUCUGAAAGGCUAUUAAGCCUGUUAUCUGGCAGCUCAGUUGCAACCUUCUGAUUAUGUGACGCAUUUCGGUACAACAUGGUGUGUAGGGAUGGGUUGGUUGAUUUAAUCCCCACAUAGUGUGUAGGGUUGGACAGAGAUGGCGUGCAGAGGCUGGUGGGUAGGAUUCUGAUUUACUGUAUCUACAUUUUGUAUCUGAUGUGGGCCAAGACCCUAAUGUAUUUCUGAGAUUGUAUCUAAAUGGGCUAAGGCCCAAACUGAUUACGUGAAGGGCACAGGCCCAGAUUGUAACCAACUGAAUUUUGUUGAUUAUUUGUAUGCGUGUUUUUUGUGGGGAUUACACACUAAGUUUGUGAAAACUCACCCUUUUUUCUGUUUAAUCUGUACAGGUAAUCCCCAGACUUGAUGGGUUGGUGCAACGAAGGACUCGAUGGUGGCCACACGUAAAUUUUAGACUAUUUUCCAUUAAUGCCUAGAAUUUAUUACUUAUUUGGGGUUUUUGAUGUAUCUUCUGGACUAUGGACUGGUUGGCUUUAAAUUUGGAACUUUAUACUGUUGUUUUAUGGAUUUUUUUAAAAAUUGCAACUCCACAAAACAUGGUUUUUUUCUAAAAACUAAGGUUUUUUGUAAAUAGAAACGACUUUCCCUAAAUUAAUUGGUUACAAAAGCUUCUGCUAAGAGACAAGUUUUAAAGCAAAUCAACUAGUUUUUUUCCGAAUUAAAUAAAAGCUAACUUACUGUAACAGUUUUUAAACUCGACAAUUUUGUUUUCAAAUUCAUUUCCAUGUAACAUCGCCAGAUUCGACCAUAACGUCUAGGCUGGGUUUGGGGUGUUACAGAGUGAUUUUAAGAUUAAGGAUUAAAUAAAUAGGAUGUUGAAAUUAUUAGGUUUUCUUGAGAAAAUUAGCAUGAGUGAGGGCUGGUUUGGAGUAGUUAAAAUUUGGUUCUUUGGGAAAAGGGGUUAAUGUUAGAAAUAACCAUGUUUAGAUCUUAGGGAUCAAAUUGAGUAACAUGUAAAAGUUUGAGGCUAAUGUGUAAAUAUUGUAAAUAAGAAAUAAGAUGUAUUAAAUUAAAUAUUAUGUGAAAUUGAGGUUGAUAAAAUAAAAUAAAUUAUUUUAUAGAUCAUGAACAAGUUGAUAACUGGGAAAAGAGAAAAUUACGGAUUAGCCUAUGAACUUUUGUUGUUUCUGCAGUUUAGCCUUGGUAAGUUCGUAGUCCUUAAAUUCAAAAUUUAUUUAUUUAAUUAGUUUGAUUAUCCAUUAAUUUUAUAAUCAAUCAUAUGUAUUUGAAUGAUUAGUAUUUUAAAUGUAAUGUUAUGGAAAUAUAUAUAUGAAAAUGGUUAUUGAGAGGAUUUGAUAAGCUAUAAAAAUAACAUAUUUUAAUCUCAUUCUUAAUGUGUUUUUGGAUGAUUAUUUAUGCAAAUUAGUGAAUUUGAUGCUCAUAAUCCUUUAAAUUCAUGUUUCUAUACUUAGAAUAGCAUUUGGGAGAUAAAGGAGCCAAAAACGAGCCAAAAUCAGACAAAAAGAGUUGAUUUCAAGAUCCACGUGGGCUGGGCAUUUCCACAUGGGUUAGACACACGCCCGUGUGAGCCACAUGGGCUGGCUACACGCCUAUGUGUCAGCCCAUGUCGAUUUCGUACCCUACUUUCCAAAUACACGAGAAAACCCAAUUUUUAGGGUUUUUGAGCAUUCUAAAGUCUAUAAAUAUCCAUUAGAAGAAUACAUAAUGGGGCAAUUAGAGAAGAUCGAAGAAAACACUCGAAGAACACCAUCGGAAUCAACUCGAAAGUGGAUCUCCAUUAAGAUGGAAGAUCUCCUUUUAAUUUCUCUCAAAGUUUUAUUAAGUUUUUUUUUAUGUUUUGUGGUUAUUCUAACUUUGAGAUGUUUCUAUUAAGGAUUAUGAACUAAAUUCCCUAGAUACAAUGGGAAGAUGAAAUCUAUGAUGAAUCAUUUUAUUUAAUUUUUGUUUUUAUGCGAUAAAUACUUGAUUCUUGUUUUCAAUUAUGUAUGCUUAUUUCUUGUUUUAAUAUUUCCGGGAUAUUAAUUCAUGUUUAAUGUGCUUAUUUCAGUGGAGGAAAAGUCCCUGUUUAAGAGUAGAUCUAACAUAAUUGAGUGGAGUUGCAUGCAAUUGUAGAAAUAGGACGACAUAAAUCUACCUGAUUAGAGUCAAAUCUAAUAAGGGAAUCCAUAGAUCGAGUUAAUGUGACGAUAGGGGUUUUAAUUAGAAAGAGAUUUCAAUUAAUCAACAUAAAGUUAGUUGUUCUUACUCUCGAAAGAGAUAAUAAUAUAAUUUAGGGAUUUCUAUGGAUCAAGACACAAGUGAAUAAAUCGUUUAGUUCAGAUUCAUAAUAAAAGGUGAGGUCUAGGUGGAUUCCUUCUGGGGUAUUGUCUAUCUCAUUGGUUAAUAUUCGAUUAUUUCCUUGAUUCAUUCUCUGUUGCGUUCAUUGUUAAAUUAGGUUAGUAAGUUUAGAUUAAAACACAUCUCUCCACAUUGUUGGCUAAAUAAUAGAAAAACGGUAAUUACUAGUACUUUUAGUCCUCUUGGAUAUGAUAUUCCCUUCUCACCAUAGCUAUACUAUUGUUCGAUAGGUGCGCUUGCCUUUGUCGUAUUUAUAGUUAGUAUAGUGACCAUUAGGAUUAUAGAAAUUCAAUAUAAAAGAUUAAUGUAAAGGAUUUAAAUUAUGAAUUGAAAAAUUGUGAAACAAUAUAAUUAUGUAUGUAUUUGUCUGUUUAUCCGACUAGCGCUGGGUGCAACUCAUUGUUGGUACAUUGAACUAGUACUAGGCACACAUUGAUAUGUCGAUUUACUUGACUAGCUUUGGGCGCAACUUAUUGUUGGUACAUCCAACUAGUGCUGGGCACACAUUUGAUAUCGUCGGUUUACUCGACUAGCACUGGGUGCAACUCAUUGUUGGUAUAUCCAGCUAGUGUUGGGCACACAUUUGAUAUCAUCGAUUUACCGGACUAGCACUUUGCUCAACUCAUUAUCAGUUUUUCCAACUAGUGCUGGGCACACAUAUGGUAUCGUCAGUUUAUUCGACUUACACCGGGCACAAAACAUUGUUGGUGUAUCCGACUAGUGCAGGGCACACCUAUCAUCAGUUUAUCCGACUAACGCUGGGCGCAAAACUUUGUUACGAUUUAUCUGUCGAGCAUUGGGUUCCAAUAACAAGUUGAUCCAUGUUGAUAAUGUAUAAACGAUCCAUUCAAAAAGGUUAAAAAUGAUGUAUUCGAAAGGAUAUCAACGAAAAGGUCGGUAUCUCAUCCUUCAAUCGUUCGCUAUUCAGGUAAGAUUUGUAUUACAGGUACGAAUAUGAGAUAAAUGUUUGACUAGUAUAGUUUGGUGAUGAAUAUAAAUGCAUUGUUGUAAUUAUAUGUUUCAUGAGUCUUUAAAUAUGUUAAUUAGUUAUGUAUGUGAUGGGUUUGGAGAGUAAAAUGGAUAUAGGAGUAUUUUCUAGGUAUUCGAUGUUAUUUCAUUAGGUACAUUGGGUAAUCAAGGAUUAAUGGAAUGAAUAUGAAUAUAUGUAUGGAAGGUUACAUGGUUAUGAUUUGUAAAUUGAAAAUUAAUGUUGUGAAGAAUUGAUAUAGGAUUUGAUGAUGGUGAAUUAAGUGUUGAAUGGAAUUUAGAAGGUAAAACUUAUUACACAUGUUCAAGAUUGGUUGUAUUUUUAUGUCUUAUUGAUUCAUUUGCUAACCUUUGAAAAACGUGUGUAUAGAAAUGAAAGAUGUGCAGUUGGCAUAUAAAUGAAUUCAUGUUUGAAUGAUUUAAAUUUUGUAUGUUCGGUAAGACUAAGUUCAUGUUAUACGAGCUUACUAAGCUUAAUGCUUAUGGUAGUUAUUUCAUUUCUUUGGAGGUCAUCUGAAAGCUCGACCGGUUGGGAACAUCGUCAAAGCACGAUCACACUAUCCAUCUAUCCGUUUUGGUGGUUUUUGAAUGUUGUAACCUAUGGUUAUAAAUGGCAUGUAUAGGGUUGUAUGUUAAAUUAGUAUGCUUUGGGUUGUGCGAAGCUUUGGUAUGUUUUAAUAUAUUUUGUUAUUGGUUGUGCAUGGUCUUUUGAAAUUAGGAAAGAAAUGGUUGAUUUAUAUGUGUUUGGUUCUUGGAAGUGAUUAAAUGAUAUAUAAGCUUUGGCAUGUAAUAGGUGCUUAUAUAGUUUGAUCACAUGGUGAAUAUUGCCUCUUCUUGUGUCUAGUUGUAUAUAUAUAUAGUUUGAUUUGGCUUGUAUAUGUUUAAAAUUUUAUGGAGAUGGUCAUUUUAAUUUUGAGUAUCUAAAGUGGUAAGUUUUGAUGGUAUAGUUUGAAAAGAAAUGGUCUUUUGGUAUUCAUGAUAUAUGUGAUUGAGAUAUGACAUUGUAAUCUAGUUCAUGAAUGGUUUUGGAGUGUGAAUUGGAGAGUCUAUUGAUGACAUAUUGGUUAGUCAUAGGUUGGAUGAGAAUUUGACAUUUUUUUUAUGCUUUGAAUGUACUUUUAACCAUGUGAAAUAGGUUAGAUAUUGUGUGCAUUGGUAUGCAAGUAAUUGAGUUUAAAAUGACUUAUUUUAGGGGCACUUUUUGCUGCACAUAGCCUAGGACACAAGCUGUCACACAGCCGUAUGCCACACACGGCUACCUCACAUAGCCGUGUGUCAUAUUAAUUUAGGUACAAGUUUCACACGGUCUGGCACACGGCCUGCAACAUGGCCGUGUGACCCAAGUCAGUGAGUUCCACGAUUUGACACACGUGCUAGGACAUGGCCGUGUGUCCCAUAGUUCAAAUGCCCACACAGCCUAGAUUAUGUCACAUGGACUGGCCACACAGCUGUGUGACCCCUAUUUUGUAAAUUUUCAAGUUUGGCCUGAAGUUUUUGUUUUAAUUCGAAUAAGUCCUUGAUUGUUCCCAAACUAUUUUUAGGGCCAUUUAAGUCCAAUUUAAGACUCGUAAAAGUAUUUAUAUCAUAUUUAAAUUAUGUUAUCGAAUAUAAUUUGUGAAUUGCAUGUUGGUCCAUGUUGCGAUGUUUAAGGUUCUAUUUUGCACUAUAAUGCUCUGUAACCCUAAUCCGACAACGGAGAUGGGUUAAGGGUGUUACAAAUUUCAAGUAACUUGUUUUGCCCAAUGGAACCUUAGUAAAUAGACUCAGAUACACGGGUAAAUUACACCACACUAGUUGCUCAUCCAAGCUGAAUAUAUGCAUAUCAGGUUACCCUUCCGGGUUAAACCUUUAUAACGCCACAUUAGGUUACUCAUCUGAGCUGAACCUAUGUCACAUAAUACUUUAGAAUCAACAAAAAAUACUAGACCUCGAUAACAUCUUUAAUAAAUCUUGUAUAAGCGCGCACAAAACCCUAUUGUCAUGUCAAUCGUAUCCUAACAUUUACUAAGUUCACACGGGCAUCGAUUUCACAUAAUUCAAUGUCAACCUUGUAAUAAUUUACAUUUACAUUAACAUAACACACCCUGUAAAGGGGUCACAUAUAAUAUUUUCGUAUCAUGUAAACAUUCGUAUUUACACAUUUGUACUCUAUAUUAUUACGCCAUAAUCAACUUUACACAAUAUUCCAAUUCAGUUAUACUAGUUCUAAGAUAUUACAAUUAUAUACAAAUAUUCAUAUAUUAAAUUAAACACAAGCACUCACACAUAUAUUACCAAGUGAAAUAGUAAAUUCCAUAUGAACUUACCUGAUCAAAACACCCAACAAGUUGAUUCUUUAUAGACUAAUAAACAAUUUUAGCAUUUCUUCGAUUAACUUUGCUUUGAUCAGAUUCUUGGUUUAUUAAAUGGUCGAAUACUUCAAAGUUUGGAAGCUUUCUUUUGCUUCAACCAUGGUGAACGGUUUGGUGGAGAAGAAAUAUGACAAAGUUUUCUUUCUCUUUAUUUCCACCAAAUUUGAUAUUUAUACUUUAAUAACUUAAUUAAUCACACUUAAUUAAUACUAAUUACUCUUAAUGAUCUUAAUCAUCAUCAUCAUCAUCAUCAUCGUCAUCUACUAUAUCUUGUUCUAAAAUGGUUUAUUUACCAUUUUGGAACUUAGGCUAUUUGUUAUUUUAAUCUCCAAAUCUUUUUUUAAUUAAAAUUCAAUAGCGAUUGGACUUUACAAUUUAGUCAUCGAGUCCUAAUUAACAAUUUAUUCACCGAAAUUCCUUUACCAAACUUUGAAGUAACCUUAUAUUAAACACUUAAAUAUUUAAUAUUUAUGAACUCAGUUUAUGAAAAUAGGGUUUUGAAACUGCCUUUUUUCCGGUACCACUGAAAAUUAGGCUUUUACAUGUACGCACUCUUAAUACCUGCACACAAUACUAGCAAACCAUACAUUGAGCAUUAUAAAGCUUAGUGGUAUGCUAUAAGAUCAACUUAACAAAUCCUUUGGUAUGCCAACCAUACCCAAACUGUUUCCAACAUUGUUUAAUAGGACAUUUAAUACUAGAACAUGCUUUAAGAUUAUUUAGCAUUAUCAUUCAACAUCAUAGAUUUCAUAGCAACAAUUUUAUAAUCAUUGCAUUACUUCCAAUCUAAGGCAAGUCAUGCAUUCUUGUAAUUUCAUUUCAAAUACUUAAUAAGCAUAAACACAACAUAAUCUAAAUCAUCCAGCAACAAACAUGUAAUCAACAAUAUAUCAUCAACCAAUUCUAAGCUAAAUUACUUGAUUGAAACUAUACUAUGAAAUUGUGUUAAGCUAGCAUAAAUCAAAACGUCACACUUCGGUGAUCUUCUUCUUCCCCUUGACCAUGGAGGAUCCGACCACUUCUUUUGCUACAAUAAUCAAUCAAAACAAUGAAACAAGGUUAGAAAAAUAUAAUCAAACAUUAAAAUAACCUAGAGCUAUCAAUGAGAUGCAAUUCAAUAUAAGGAUACACUUACAUGUUUUUAACCGAAGCUCAAAAAAACUUGUAACACCCCAUAACUGGCCUUGUUUCCAAGCCUAAAUAUCAAGGUGCCACACCACCGUCUCAUGUCAAAUACAAAAAAUAAAAGCUCAUUCUCAACAAAACAUCUUCCAUUUUAACAUUCGUACAAGUUUAGAGUCUAUCUUAAGCUUUAGUUAUCACCGUUACAUGCUAAAAUAAAUCAAAUAGCCUUAAAAUAAUAAUUCAACAUGCAUAUGGUCUGUUUUAGUAAAAUUUCAAAACAUCAUCAUAGGUAUCGAUACUAAAGACAUGGUAUCGAUAUUUUGCUCAAGAGGUAUCGAUACCACUUGGAAAAUCUAUACCAAAAUUGCUUAUUGUUUUUCACUUAAAAACCCAAAUUUCAAAAAUUAUCGGUACCCCUGCCAAAGUAUCGAUAUUUCUUCCCCGAGUAUCGAUACUCGAGAUAAGGUAUCGAUACCGAAUCUCUAUUCUAUUUUUCUGCACUUUUGAAAAUACAGAUGUAUCAAUUUUAAAACCCGAUUAUCGAUACCUUUGCUCCAAACCUCAAAAAUGCAGCAUACAUAAGUAAUUAAUCCAUUCCAUUUUAGUUCCUAAAUAUCAUACAUCAAUUACUUUAACAAAUAAUCAUUCAGCGACCUAAUUAAUAGUUCAAUAUCAAAGAAUCGUGUUUGAGCAAGUAAUGUUGAACUCAAGCAUAACAAUAACAUGUAAUACUUAUAAACCAAACCAAAAACUAGCAAAAUGUCUACAAGUUAACAUGGUUGUAACAAGUCUACCACAUUGACUUAUUCCCAAAACGUAAAUAAAUGUAGAACACAUACGAAAUCACAAAUAGACUUGCUUGGAUCACCCUUAGAACCACACCGCUCACACUGGCACACAACUAAUCUAUAAUGGUUUAAAAGGAGUGGGUGAGCUAAACAAACUGAUUGAAUGCCUAGAAAAACUACCAUGCAAACAGUUCAUCAAGCAUUAACGAAACAACGAUAUAUCACAACCUUAACAAUUCCAACUUUAGUGUCAUAAUAAACUUACUCGUGCGUUAUUUUGUAGUUCUUUUACAUGGUAAACAUAUUCACUUUUAAGCAUGUACCAUAUUUCACAUAUAGUCACCUAACAUACAAGCAUAUAUCACCAUACUCAUAUAAUCUCAUGACGUUUAAGAAUAUGUCAUAAUACUCGUAAAAUCACGUAACAUUCAAGCAUAUACCAUAAUACUCUAAAACAUCUUUAUAGAUAAAUUGUACAAUGGUCACAUGUUAUAUAAACACAUAUCAUGAUACACGCAUAUUCAUAAGUUAAGAUAAUUUGGCACUUGAGCUAUGAAACAUAAAAGUGAGCUCUAUCAUCACUCAUUAGAUACACGGAUCUCCAACACACCAAAUAUAGACUCAUAGAGUCAAACAUGUCCCAAAAGUGAAGCAUAAAGCUAACGCUCUCCUUAUUUCCCCUCACAUGUCUCAUUGAAUGGAGCUUAGCUCACAUUCCCUUAUCUCUACAACAUGUCCCAAGGCCUCAACGCCCAAAAUCAUUGUACAUAUAGGUGAGUACUCAUAAUCCUAUGGCAAUUCAGCUAUAUCCAAUGAUUUCAGUAACCAUAAGGCCAAAAUAUCUGAAAUCAAACACAUAUCACUUAUCGAUUAUCCGUGCACAACCACUGCAUAUUUGCAUCUUUAGCAAAACAAUGUCACUAACAUUUAACAUAUACAUAACAUGUACACAUUUGCACUUUCACAACGGUUAUCAUAACCACGUAUCACAUGUUAUAACAUCUCAUCUCAAUUCACAUAUUCACAAACACAGAAGAACUUUAUUCACAAGAUAACAUAGAUAUGAGAAAGUUUACACUCAAAAUUUAGAGUAGGAGUUUAGGCUGCUACUAAAUUCCCAAAUAAUGCAUUAAAUCAUGUCCACAAGCAAUUAUUUCAAACACUCACCAAUUACACUUUUGCCAAAAAACAGAAAACCCAAACUAGUUUUUCAUUGCCUUUAUCUCUAGUCGUAGAAGGUUCUAUCGAAUUUGAAACUUCAACAAAACAAUUCACACACCAAUGCAUUCAAUAAUCAGCUAAGAACUCACCACAAACAAUCAAAAACAUAAACCUAAGCUACGUUCUCAUGUAACUGAAACAUUUAACAUGGCAAACAUUAAAUCCAAAUAUCUCGGUCUAUACUUAAUCUUUUCACCUAAAACCAAUUCCGUUCAUCUUAUAAUUCACCUAUGACUAAUUCUUAACCUUUAAACUAUAGAAAACUACUCAAUUCAUGAUAUCGACUUUCGACAUGUUUUAUGGCUAUUUUCUGAAAUUUUAUUAAAACUCCAGAAAUCUUUAAGGAAACUUCAAAGUAAGUUUAGAAACCUCUUAAUCAUGUCAAAACUAAUUGAAAAAACUUUGAAACCAUGUUUUUAGUCAAAAUCCCGAAUUUCACCAUUAACGGCCCAAUUUUUGACUUUUAUUUAAAAUGUCAUAACGUUGCCUACAUAAGAGUACGGGGGCAUAGUAAGCAAAGCUAGACACGGAUGGCCUCAAUUAAUGUAAAGUCACCACUAACCAAUUAGGGCUAGGUUGGUUAGCCACCUAUAGUCUAAAAGUCUAGAAUUAAUACUACAGAAAAAUCCUAAAAAUCUAGACUCGAUCUUAUCACCAAAUUUCAAGUUCGGGAGUUCGGUUACGUGUGGGAAAGGUUAUAGCGCCCCCAUAAGGCCUAUCCAAUGAUAGUUCUAUGGGGUCUUAGGAGCUAGGUUUUUUUAUUUAAGCAUAUUAAUGUCUUAAUCUAGGCUAAAAUCUUAUCGAAAUCUUAAAUAAAAACUUUAAAGAAAAUGUCUCCGGUUUAUUUGUAACUCGAUUAAGAUGUGUUCACCAAACUUCUCUAAUUUGAAACUUAAAUUAGAGAUUUUUACUUUUAACGGGAACCCUAAAGGAUACCUAAAUAAUUCUAGUAAAAUACCUUCAAUUCCUAAAAUUAAUUCUAUUUUAGAAUUCUAAAAAAAAACCUAGAAAUUACCAAUGAAUUAAGAGAAAUAUUAAAAUUUACCUACAACUUAUUUGAUCUUUUAUUAUUAUUAUUUAAAAGUUUUAAUUAAUAACGUAGAACCUAUCAUGAUCUUACGAAAGUAUCUUAUGUCAGGUUUAUGAUUUAUCUUACUUUAAAAUUCUUGAUCUAAUAUUUAAAUUCGUCAAAAUCCUAAAAUAAUAUAUCUUAAAUAACAUUUAUUAGCUUUCUUAAAAAGUUUCUAAAAUAAAAUACUUAGAAAGACCUACUCAUGAUUUACAAUUCACCUACAAAAAUCUUUAGUUUUAAUCUUGAACAAAGUCCUAAAAAAUAUUUACAUAUACGAUAUUCAAAAUUAGUUUAAAACCCUAAAAAAUAUAUCCUACAUAUUAUUUAUAAUUUUUCUAGGGUAAAUGGUAGAUAAGAUAUUAAAGACUAACCUAAAUUCAAAUGCAAAAACCUUAUGGUUUCAUUAAAAUGUAAUACCUACUUAACUAACUUCAUGUCAACAUUUAUAGGAUGGAAAAAUGACCUAAAGUUCCCUAUUUUAAAACGAAUAAUAAUAAAAUAGGAAAUUUAAUUAAAUUAACUAAAGUUAAUAAAAAGUUAAAACUCUUUUGCACAAGUGUGAAUAAAUAUUGUCAAAACCAUUUUUAUUUUGAAAAACGGGGUCGACUUGGAUUUUGAAAAAAAAAUAAAAAUGGGAGUCGCCACCGAUCCUUUUUAUUUAGGUGUGAUCAGAUCACCUUAAAAAGUGGUUAUUUUUAAUAAGGGAUUUGACUUUAUUAAAACAACGAUUUUGGUCCACGAAAUUCAGAAAAACGGGUUCGGGAGUCGGUUACGUACGAGGAAGGAUUAGCACCAUUGUAACGCCCAAAAAUUGGUACCUAGUUAAUUAAUUAAUGUCUUAAUGUCGAAAAUUGAAAACUUUGAAGAGAUUUAAAAUACGAUCUUUUGUAUUUUUAAAAAAAAACUUAUAUAAAACAAGUUACUCGAUAAGACCCUCUCAUUUCAAAAAGAGAAAAUGUUACACCUAAUGAGUUAGGGCAUGAUAUUUCACUUCCUCAAAAACGAGCUUGUCCAAAAAAACUCGUGCAAUAAAAUUUAAAAGGAUAUUCAAUUGUUUAAGUCAGAUGAAGAAAUCACAGCCCAAUACGUUAGGCCACAAUUUCUCAAAAUUCUAAACAUUGAAUAUUACCUUUAUUAUUUUUAGAAAAAAAUCCUCAUCUCGAGAAAACAACGAGUCAUAUCCAAUGCGUUAGGACACAACGUAUUGAAUUCUCGAUAAUGAGCUCUUUAUUUAUGUUUUGAUUAAAAAGAAUUCUCGAUUAUUCAGAUUCAACGAAAGAGUUGGAACUCAAUACAUUAGGGCUCAAUCCUCUCGAAGAUUCUAAAUACCGAGUAUUGCCUUUAUUUUUCAAAAUUUUCUCUUUAUACAAAUUUGGGUAAAAAUUAUAUAAUGGAGUAACAAUUGUGAUAAUGUAAAUAUAAAUAGCAUGAUCAAGAACAACGAUAAUAAUAAUAAUAAUGAAAAGAUAAAUAAAAAAAACAAAUCAAUCAUGUAUACACAAUAUCAAGUAAAUAAACAAAUAAAACCGAAGCAUUUAAAGAAUAUAGUAAUGAUAAUAAUGGUCAUGUGAAUAAAUAAAUAAACAUCAAGUAAAGAAAUAAUAAUAACAAAGAAAAUAGAUAAAAAUUAUAAAAUAUAAAUAUAUAUAUAUAUGUACAUAUAAGAAAAAUAUAUAUGUAUGUGAAUUAUAAAAAAUAAAAAAUAAAAAAUAUAUAAAUAUACAUAUUUUAAUAUGUAAAAAUAUAUAUAAGUAUGUAUAUAAAAUUAUGAAACAUAGAAAAUAUAUAAAAGUAUGUGUAUAUAUAUAUUUAUAAAAAUUAAAAAAUGUGUACGUAUAUGUAUAUAUUAUAAAACGUAUGUAUGUAUACAUGCAUAUAUAUAACAAAAUUUGAAAUUUAAAGGCAUAAAAAAGUAAAUAAUAAUGAUAAAAGAUUAAUGAUGCCAAUAAUAGUAUUAUAUAUUAAAAUAAUUAAUUUAAUAUAAAAAACUAAAAUAACAAAUAGNNNNNNNNNNNNNNNNNNNNNNNNNNNNNNNNNNNNNNNNNNNNNNNNNNNNNNNNNNNNNNNNNNNNNNNNNNNNNNNNNNNNNNNNNNNNNNNNNNNNNNNNNNNNNNNNNNNNNNNNNNNNNNNNAAUCAACAAUAUACAAAUCAAUAAAUAAAUUAUACACAAAUCAACAAAAUAAGAACAAGCCACAGAAAAUAAGAACGCAAGAGAGAGAGAAAUUUGAGUGAAUACUCUUAAUAAUUAUUAUUACUUCCAACUCAAGUCCUUUACAAUGAAGGAAGAGGCCUCUAUUUAUAGUUGAGCCUCCUCAAAUCCAACGGUACCUAUUAAUUACAUCAACGGCUAAGAUUAAAGGAUAUCUACAAAUUAAAUCUCUAAGAUUACAAAAUCAUAUCUUCUAAGAUUGCAUAUCAUAUCUAAGAUUGCAUAUCCUUGAAGAUUAUGUUUCCAUAUGUGUCAAACUUGUAGAUGGACGUUCAACCUUUUCAAGUAAUGGGCCAUUCCGAUCGGGCCAAAUGAUAUAAUUUUGGACUGGACUUGGACUCUAUUUUAUUAUUUUUGGUUUAUUAUUUUUUUGUGAGCCCGGGCUAAAUUGGCCUAUUACAGUUGCCCCUCUUUGCUCAUUGUCGAGUAACGAGAAUGAAGAAAAGACCUUAAAAAUGACCAAUUUUGCCCGGUCGUGCUGGACCUUGGUGCUCUUAUUCUUCAAGUAGCCUCAUUCCAUCCUACUGCAUCUUCAGAGGUAUAGGAAUUGGUGCUUCGAUCCACUCCACUGCAACGUCGGGGAGAUAGGAUUUGUAACUCAUAACUUUUCAAGAUAACAAAAUUUACUAUUGUUAGUCUGUUUCAAUGCAACUUUAGGGAAAUAGGACUUGCUUUCUCGAUCUACUCUACUGCAACUUCAGAGAGAUAAGAUCUAUUUUAAUCCGCUCCACUGCAACUUCAAGGAGAUAGGAUUACUGGCUUCAAUCUGCUCCACUGCAACUUAGGGAGAUAAAAUCUGUAAUUUUCAACCUACUCCACUGCUGCUCAAGGAGAUAAGGCUAGUGGCUUAAAUCUGCUUCCCUACUACCUUGAGAAGAUAAGAUUCGCCGUCUUCGAUUUGCUCCACUACUGCUUAGGGAGAUAAGAUCUGUAAUUUUCAACCUACUCCACUGCUGCUCAGGGAGAUAGGAUUCACUAUCUUCAACCUAUUCCACUACUGACCAGGGAGAUAGGAUUCACCUAUUCCACUACUGACUAGGGAGAUAGGACUUACAAUUUUCAAUCUCUUCCACUGCUGACCAGGGAGAUAGGACUCACAAUCUUCAACCAUUCCACUGCUGACCAGGGAGAUCGGAUUCACCUAUUCCACUGCUGACUAGGGAGAUAGGACUUACAAUUUUCAAUCUCUUCCACUGCUGACCAGGGAGAUAGGAUUCACAAUCUUCAACCUAUUCCACUGCUGACCAGGGAAGUAGGACUUACAAUCUUCAACCUAUUCCACUACUGACCAGGGAGAUAAAGCUUUGUGAUUUCAUUGAUCUGUUAUCUGAGGAACAUGACCUGUAUAAUGAACCUAAUUAUGCCUAAGAUAAGGAUGGCAUGAUGAAAAUGCAUCAAAUGCUCCUAACUAGACAUGUAUGAAUGGUGUUUGCAUGAAUGUAGAAUGCUAUUUUUUUGUGAGAAUGAUCCUUUUUUAUCACUUAGGUUAUCGUUGCUCGAAGUUUAUUAAGGCUUUAUCACUGAUGUGUUACAACGCCUUUCUGCUCAGCUGGCGUUCUCAAAGAAACACUUAGUCAGAUUGCUCCCACUAUAAACCUCAAAGUUCAAUCCACUAGGACGCAAAAUUUGUACCAUCACUCUCCCACUGUAACCCAAGGGUAGAAAUAUAUGGCUUUUCCUCAAUCCUCUCCUAUCACAAUUCAAGGAUACAGGAUCUAAAUCUCUCUGGUCCCUUACACCAUUCCCAGGGUGUCGUACCAAAGGCUCAUGCACAAAUGAAGGCUUUCUUCUCUAAGGAAACCUCUUUCUAUUGUCUGGUCAUCAUUGCUUGCUUGUUUAUUUAAGCUUUGUCAUCAACACGGCAUCUUGUCAUUUUGUUCAAUCAAUGUUUUUAACAACAAAAUCCAAAGAAAAAGUCCUAAUUUAGACUCUUCCUUUUCAAAUUUCCAACCUUUAAACAUGGUACGUUCUAAAGAAUAGUCUCGUUUCAGGUCCUAUAUUAUUUAGAAACUUCUAGAGUAAUAUGCAAAACCUCCCUUGUGAAAGUUUUAUUAGUCAAUUAAUCAACAUUCCAAUGCAACAUGCUUGCAAAAAGGUCAUAACAAUGGAUAAUAAUAAAGUUAGUUCUGAGCAUAGCUCGAAAGGAAUAAAUUAUCAAAAAUAGUAAAGAAGGAUAACAAAUAAAUUGAUUGGGAAUGUGUAUCUUGGAAAAGAAUGAAGUAUUCCAAGAACAACAAAUUCAAUAUAAAUAGUAUGAAAAUUGGGUACCCCAGAUAUCGCAGCUUGAGCUUCUCUGUACAAACUUUUUGAAGAUCAUUCUGAGUUUGACAUGUGUUUAGGAGAUCUACAGUGCUUUGUCGAUACCCCAAGAUGUCGCCUACCCUUUCCUGUUGAUUCAAGUAUAGCAAGAUCAUCAUAUGCCCCAAUCUGAUCAAAAUUUUAACUGCUCUGAUCACCUCAUGCCCCAUUCUGAUUAAUAUUUGAGCCGCCCUUUUCGGGUUUUCAACUCAAAUCCCCUUUGGUCUCAAGGCGCCCUUUGCGGGUUUUCACCUUGGCCUCUCCUGUUUCUUUUUUUUUCUUUUUCUUUUUUUAUCACUUUCAUUUUUUAUUUUGAUUUUGACCGCUUUUUUUUUAAUCUGAACUCAUAGGAUUAGGCAAGUCCUUGUUAUCCCUUUCGAUCAGAACCAAUGUUUUUUUCUAGAUAAAGUCUUCCACAUAAGAUCUUCCACUUUCAUCUUGUAUGCAUAAGAUCUUCUUUGUGAUCAAAUUUCUUUCAUAGAGCCUUCUAGGGCAAAAUUUAACUAUGAAGAAAAAAUUGGAUCUUCCUCUUCAAUUAUGAUGAAAUCCAACCAAAAUUCGAAGAGAUGGAAACUCGAUCUCAAUGGGCAAAACUAUGAUAAGCCAAAGAGAAAGGAGUUGCCCCGGCAAAAAAAAUUCACUGUAUCAUUCAUGAUGUUAAUCUUGAACAUACGGCAAAUUUCUAAUAUCGUACUAUUGUUCAGAUUACAAUGUUAGUGAUUAACCCGGGCAUAUCCUAGUAUAACCAUGCGAAGACAUCUUUGAGCUCUUAAGGUAAAUCAACAAGGUCCUGCUUUGUUUCUCUGGUUAUGCACGUUCACAAUCUCCAUUGUCUCCUCAUAAGGUAAAAUUUGUUUCUCUUCCUGUUCUACCAUCCUCAAUAAGUCCGGAGAUAGGCUACAAUCUAUGUCAUUUUCAAAGACCUGAAAUCCCUCUAAACACAUGCCUCGCUCAAAAGGAAAUUCUGAGUUUGUAGCAGCGUCACUCAUGUAAUUGAUAUCUGGGGACCCAUAGUAGGUACCAAAUAAUAUACCAAAGAAUAUAUGAAUUUAUGAAUAAUUAUUUGUACAAUAUGAUUAUGAAUGAAAGAAUGAUGUGGAAGAAAAUCCAAAAGAAUGAAAGAAUAAUUAUUCGAAAAGAAUGAAAGAAUAUUGGCUCAAAAAUGAAUGCAAAGAUGUAUUUCAUUAGAAUAAUGACGUUCAGACAUAAGCCUAUUUCACAAAGGAAUUUCUAUCAUUUUUAGGCUAAAAACAACAAAAAUGUUUUGAACAUUACUCAAAAUAAGCUCUAAAAACUAUAGGGAUUUCUUCUGCAGUCCAGUUAUUUAGAACACUCCCAAGUUUAUAAGGGCGAAUAUCUAACAAGGUCCCUUUUCAUUUGUGUCUUCCUAUAUGUCAUUGAUGUGAACUCUUCCCAACACCUCUUCAUAUAUUGCAUUCACCCCAUUAUCAAUCAUGAUUGGGUAGCGGCCUUUCUGCAGUAGAUGAGUCAUCCAACUUGACAAUACCCAUGGUGAUGAAUUUUUCGACUAGCUUUUUGAAGGUAAUGCAAUUCUCCAUUAAGUGCCCCGUAAUUCCCGCAUGGUAAUCACAUUGUGCGCUCGCAUCAUACCACUUGGGAUAUGGAGGUUGUGGAGGUUUUAAGUAGGAAGGGGCAACAAUGUACGCAUCGAACAAGCUUUGAUAUAGCUCCUUAUAGGACAUCGGAAUUAGUGUGAACUGGAGCUUCUCAGUACCUGGUUUCACUCCAGAUUCUUGUCUCAAUGAACCUUGUUGACUAGCAACCCCUUUACCUGGAUGACUUACAGUAACUGAUCUUGAGUAACCUAUGUUACUCAUCUCAUUUUCUUUUCUCCUUGAGACUGACUUUUUGUUACUCUCUCCACCAUCUAUUCUUCCACUUCGGAUGGCAUUUUCAGUCAUUUCGCCAUUCAUGAUUAUAUCUGAGAAACUCUUUGAAGCACUUCCCAACAUGUGCGUGAUGAACGGGGCUUUCAGUGUGUUGAUAAAGAGCAUCGUCAUUUCUUUCUCUAGGAGUGGCGGCUGAACUUGGACUGCAACCUCUCUCCACCUCUGUGCAUACUGUCUAAAGCUUUCAUUCGAUUUCUUUUCCAAACUUUGCAAGGUGAUUCUAUCAGGAGUCAUUUCUAAUAUAUGACUAUACUGCCUCAUAAAAGCCUGUGUCAAAUCCCUCUAAGAACUAAUUUUAAUUUGGCUCAAUUGAUUAUACCAUUUAGAUGCUACCCCGGUGAGGCUAUCUUGAAAACAAUGUAUUAAUAGCUGAUCAUUGUUAAUAUACCCAGUCAUCCUCCUACAGAACAUGGUGAUAUGGGUUUCAGGGCAACUGGUCCCAUUAUACUUCUCAAAUUCUGGCAUCUUGAACUUAUAAGGAAGUACCAAAUCUGGGACCAAACUCAGAUCCUUAGCAUCCAUUCCAUGAUAACUUUCAGUGCUCUCUAUUGCCCUGAAUUUCUCUUCAAUCCAUUUCCACCUUUCCUCAAACUGUUUUGGUAAUUCUUCCUUUGCUUUAUCUUUCUUAGCUACUUCAUCGAAAUCAGGGAUAGCAGUAUUCACCGAGUUAUCUCCAGGAUUAGAACCUGAUCCAGCCUGGAAGUUCACCGGCACUGAUACACCAACCUGAAACUGCUGAGGCCUAAUUGUAACAGAGGAUAUGAGUGGAUGCACCUUAGCUUGAGUUUGCACAUACGGAGGAGUAAAACUUGGAGGAUAUAGAGGUCCAUCAUUGUCUCCUACUUCAUCAUUAACCAUAGGGCCCUUCCCCUUAUUUACUCCCCUAGUCAGUAAUUGCGUCAAAUUAGCCAUCAUAUCCUUUUGAGACUCUAGCAUCCUUUCAGUCAUAUCUUGUUGAAUUUUUUCCAAUUGCUCCUUCAUUUGCAUCUGUAGCUGGUCUUGCAUUUCUUUUUGCAUUUGCUCCAGUUUCUUUAAUCUUUGAUCCAUUUCCUUAGUUUUACGACGAGUACCGUAAGAGUGUUUGGUUGGUUGGUUUUCCAGAUUAGCUUAAAUAAAUUUACUCAAUUAGACUCUUUCAAUGGAUUUUAAUGCAUAUGAUGUCAUGUAAUGCAGAUGCAUGAAAUGAAUGCCUAAAGAGACGUUGAUUCUGAUUCAAUUACAUUUAGAAAACUUUACUAGAAGGCAAAUUUCUUUACAUAAAGCAUAUGCAUGUACGGCCUCGCCCUUAUAUUCCAAGAGACAACAUCGAUCUUUUCCUUCAUUCGCAUGUUUAAGAUAAAUCCCUCAAAUUUCCAAUAGAUGCCACUACUAGCUCCCUUUUUCUUAAUCCUGGUCACGAUCCAUCAUUUUCCUAUCCUCGUAAUGCUUAUCAGCUUCUUUAAGGGAAUUGGAACAUCGAAAGCUCUUAGACAAUCAUCUUAAAUCCUCGAGCCACGAAGUAAAGUCACAAACUCUUCCAUCACCUUUCUUGUGUUUCUCUGAAUAUAUUCAGGCAACCAUAUUAUUUUCCACUUUAUCAAGAAAUUCGUAUUCCAUGACAAGCUUUCUAAGUUAGUAAUCGAACUUGAAUCAACAUCUCUUUUCUAAGAUGCAAAUGCAAUGCAAUCAUAAUCAAAACAAAACAAAACAAAACGGGUUAGUACAAAACAAAAGCAAACAAAAAGAAUACCUAGUCGGGUAAGUACUAGGGGUUUGGAGUGGCUCUACCUAGGAUGAGUUCCUAAAGUCUUCUACAUGCGGUUUGGCUCUAAAGUCAAGCUACCCGAACCAGUAGAUUCCUCGAUCCUUACCCAUUAUAGGCUCAUACAGACCGAGUUUGGUUCAGGGGAAUACAUUUCCCUAUGGCUGCACGGAGAUGAAGAUCUCACGAAGACAUAGGUACGGAUGUAUCCCGAAAGUGAUCCACUAUCCUGAACGGAGGUGAAAACCUCACGAAGGAGUAGCUUCUCACUCCCACUUAAAAGGCUAAGACUAAACAGUCUUUAUGCAAUAUGAUGCCAAGAUAUAAAACUCGAUUUACAGUAAUCAUACAAACAAGGGCAAAGAGAGGGUCGUAAUUUUUCAAAUCAAAUUUUCAAUUUUCGACAAUAAGAAAAAAAACAAUUAAUUUUGCGGCUUGACUCUCUAAAUGUCCCCAGUGGAGUCGCCAAGCUGUUGACACCAUUUUUAUUUUGAAAAUCGGGGUCUACUUGGAUUUUGAAAAAAAAUGAAAAUGAGAGUCGCCACCGAUCCUUUUUAUUUAGGUGUGAUCAGGUCACCUCAAAAAGUGGUUAUUUUUAAUAAGCAAUUUGACUUUAUUAAAACAACGCUUUUGGUCCACAAAAUUUAGAAAAAUGGGUUCGGGAGUCGGUUACAUACGAGGAAGGAUUAGCACCCUCGUAACGCCCAAAAAUUAGUACCUAGUUCAUUAAUUAAUGUCUUAAUAUCGAAAAUUGAAAACUUUGAAGAGAUUUAAAAUACGAUCUUUUGGUUUUUUUUUUUAAAAAAAACUUAUAUAAAACAAGUUACUCGAUAAUACCCUCUCAUUUCGAAAAGAGAAAAUGUCACACCCAAUGAGUUAGGGCACGAUAUUUCACUUCCUCAAAAAUGAGCUUGUCCAAAAAAACUCGUGCUAUAAAAUUUAAAAGGAUAGUCAAUUGUUUAAGUCAGAUGAAGAAAUCGCAGCCCAAUACGUUAGUGCACAAUUUCUCAAAAUUCUAAACAUUGAAUAUUACCUUUAUUAUUUUUAGAAAAAAAAUCCUCAUCUCGAGAAAACGUGUCAUAUCCAAUGCGUUAGGACACAACGUAUUGAAUUCCUGAUAAUGAGCUUUUUAUUUAUGUUUUGAUUAAAGAGUAUUCUCGAUUAUUCAGAUUCAACGAAAGAGUUGAAACCCAAUACGUUAGGGCUCAAUCCUCUCGAAGAUUCUAAAUACCGAGUAUUGCCUUUAUUUUUCAAAAUUUUCUCUUUAUACGAAUUUAGGUAACAAUUAUAUAAUAGAGUAACAAUUGUGAUAAUGUAAAUAUAAAUAGCAUGAUCAAGAACAAAAAUAAUAAUAAUAAUAAUGAAAAGAUAAAUAAAAAACAAAUCAAUCAUGUAUACACAAUAUCAAGUAAAUAAACAAAUAAAACCGAAGCAUUUAAAGAAUAUAGUAAUGAUAAUAAUGGUCAUGUGAAUAAAUAAAUAAACAUCAAGUAAAGAAAUAAUAAUAACAAAGAAAAUAGAUAAAAAUUAUAAAAUAUAAAUAUAUAUAUAUAUGUACAUAUAAGAAAAAUAUAUAUGUAUGUGAAUUAUAAAAAAUAAAAAAUAAAAAAUAUAUAAAUAUACAUAUUUUAAUAUGUAAAAAUAUAUAUAAGUAUGUAUAUAAAAUUAUGAAACAUAGAAAAUAUAUAAAAGUAUGUGUAUAUAUAUAUUUAUAAAAAUUAAAAAAUGUGUACGUAUAUGUAUAUAUUAUAAAACGUAUGUAUGUAUACAUGCAUAUAUAUAACAAAAUUUGAAAUUUAAAGGCAUAAAAAAGUAAAUAAUAAUGAUAAAAGAUUAAUGAUGCCAAUAAUAGUAUUAAUAAUAUUAAAAUAAUUAAUUUAAUAAUAAAAAACUAAAAUAACAAAUAGAGGAUUAAAUAGCAUCAAUAAUCAAAGACCAAUGAAUUUAAAACAAAGAGUAUAAAAUAAAAAAAAAACAAGGCAAAAUAAAAUGUAAACAAAUUUGAAAAUGAAUAAUAAGGGAAAAAGAGAUAUGAAAUCAACAAUAUACAAAUCAAUAAAUAAAUUAUACACAAAUCAACAAAAUAAGAACAAGCCAUAGAAAAUAAGAACGCAAGAGAGAGAGAGAUUUGAGUGAAUACUCUUAAGAAUUAUUAUUACUCCCCACUCCCUCCUUUUACAAUGAAGGGAGAGGCCUCUAUUUACAGUUGAGUCUCCCCAAAUCCAACGGUAUAGAUCAAUUACAUCAACGGCUAAGAUUAAAGGGUAUCUACAAAUUAAAUCUCUAAGAUUACAAAAUCAUAUCUUCUAAGAUUGCAUAUCAUAUCUAAAGAUUGCAUAUAUCAUAUCUAAGAUUGCAUAUAUCAUAUCUAAGAUUGCAUAUCCUUGACGAUUAUGUUUCCAUAAGCUUGUAGAACCUUUUCAAGUAAUGGGUCAUUCUGAUCGGGCGAAAUGGUAUAAUUUUGUACUGGACUUAGACUUUAUUUUAUUACUUUGGGUUUUUUAAUUUUUUGUGAGCCCGGGCUAAAUUGGCCUAUUACAAAUAUGAAAGAUUAAAAUAAAGUGCAUAAUUGACAUUAAAUAUAUAAGGUAUAAAUGCAAAUUAAAAGGAAGAUAUAAUUGUAAAUAAUUUAUUAAAGAUGGAAACAAAAUGACAUGGCUUGAUUUUGGGACUAAAAGAUAAAAAAAAAAAAGUGGAAGAUAGAGGACUGAUGUAGCAAUGAAUUUUCUUUUAAUUUUGAAAUUUUUUAUUUAAAUAAAGUGUUUGAAUAAACAAAAGGGUUACAGGUCUAAAUAGGCCAGAGAGUGAGGGCGACACUGCAAAAAAUGGGGUAUUUUUUGUAAAUUUAAAAAGUAAGGGGUGGAAAUAAAUUAUCCAUUUUGGCACCAUUAAAUAGGAGAAAUCUAUUCAUUCUUUCAUUUUAACCUCAUUUACAAAAACACUCUUCCUCCUAUUCAUCCUUUUAUGUUGGCCAUGACACCAUCACCGGAGAGUCCAACGGCUCUCCAACUUCUAGUUGUGGAGUAGUCGCAUACGGUGGCUGAAUUUUAUUUUAUUUUAUUGCAAAAUCAAAGCUUUCUUUUAAAAAAUCACUACUUUUAUUAAAGAUAAAAGAUUUUAUUCCGAAAUAAUUUUAAAAAAAUCAAAAAUUUGUUUUAAAAAUUUAAACUUUCCUUUAAAAUGACUCAAAAAAAUGGGUUUUCUUUUUUUUUUUUAAAAAUCUAAACUUUCUUUUUUUUUAAAAAAUCACUAAUUUUCUUAAAGAUCAAAGCUUUUAUUUCAAAAUAGUUGAAAAAAAUCAAAACUUUAUUUUAAAAAUUUAAACUUUCCUUUAAAAUGACUAAAAAAAUAGAUUUUUAUUUUUAAACAUCUAAACUUUCUCCUUUUUUUUUCUUUUGAAAAAUCACUACUUUUCUUAAAGAUCAAAACUUUUAUUUUGAAGUAGUAGAAAAAAAUCAAAAAUUUGUUUUAAAAUUUUCCUUUAAAAUGACUAAAAAUAGGUUUUUAUUUUUAAAAAUCUAAAUUUUCUCUUUUUAAAAAAAAUCAAAACUUUUCCCAAAAUCAAGCUUUUUUUUUUAAAGAAACCUUUAUUUUAGAAAGGGGAAGGGAAAAUUCGAGAUUUUUGGGGCUCCCCUUCAUCGGAGCCCAAACCCCAUCCCUCAAUAUAUGUAUAUGGCAAAAAAAAAAGAAAAAAAAAGAAAUAGAAUGCUUAUUGUUGUUACUUUUACCUUUAAAAAAAAAUAAAAUAUGAAAAGCCUCCUUUUUUUUUUCAUUUCAUUUCAUGUAUAUAUACUAUUUUUCAAUCUUGUUUAUUUGUAAAUAAAAGAUAAUAAUAACAUUUAAUAAUAAUAAUAGUAGGAGUAAUGAUAAUAAUAAUUUGGGCUCUUGACAAGCCCAAAAAGGAAAGAAAAAGAAAAGAAAAACAAAGGCCUCCAAUUGACCAAAAUCGGGUGGGCUUCGAACGGGCCCAAGAGUGUAACACCCUAAACUCGGCCUAGACGUUAUGGAUGAAUUUGAUAAUGUUACGAUGAAGGAUUUUGAAAAUAGUGUUAUUUUAAUAAAACUUUGUAUAGUUGUUCGAGAAAUCAGCCAAGUUUUAUAGCCCAUAUUCGUUUAUAACUAUUACUGAAAGCGUUAUUUAAUUAAUUCAUUUGCCAAAACAUAAUUUACAGUGGUAGUAUUAGAAACCGUUAUAUUUUGGAAAUCCAGUUCGUGUAUUCGGAAAAAAAAAACUUUUUUUUAAAAACCUUGACUUUAGUCAAACAUCGCAAUAAAAGUUAAAACGCAUCCAAAACCAAAAUAAAAAUCAUCAGUCGAGAGAGUCCAAUAAUUACAAAACUCCUAGAAAUAGUCCUUAAUUUAAAUAAAAUCCAAUAUUUAAAACAGUUUACAAACUCGUGGUCACCGUGAGACUCUGUCGCACCAAUCCACCUAAGUCUAUGGAUUACCUGAACAGAACAGACAAACAGAUGUGAGUUUUCGUAAACUCAAUGUGUAACCCAAUAGAAAUAGACAUGCAUUGCAUAAAGAAAUCUCAUAUGCAGUAAAAUACAGUUUCGGACUGAAGUCCAUUUCAGAUACAAAUAACAGAAUCAGAUAAGCAGAACAGAUAUACAGAAUCCUACCCCCAUCCUCUACACACCAACUCCGACCAUCCCAUCACACCAUGUGGGGUUAAAAACACCCACCCAUCUCUGUACACCAUACAGUGCCGAACCGACACAUCACAGAUAAUAUGCAGUCGAGCUGCCAAGAUAUAGGCGAGAGGUCGCCAUAAAGGUCACUUUCUCCACAUAUACGAUUCCCACCCUAAACAUAUAUACAGAAUACAGAUAGAGAAAUAUCUUGCUUAACAUGCUCGUAUAUAGAUAACAUAUAUAUUUAACAGAAUAGUCAAACAUGCAUAACAGUCUCCUACUCAGAGCAGAUUAUCAGAAUAUCAGAUCACGUAAUUUAGGGUUUAGUUAGCCCUUGCUGACCCUACGGUAGGCCCACAGUCGAUUGGAACAACCUGUGCGACCCUAGGGAAAAUUUUAGAAUUAUCGGCCCACAUGUCCGCGUGGCCUGCCUGUGUGACCCACACGGCUUAGCCCAAAACCCAUACGCCUAAUAUGGCCUAGCCUGUGUGGUCCACACAGCUACACUCACACCAUCACACAGUCGUGUCUUGUGGACGGCCACACCUUCGUCAGACACACGGUCGUCUCUCGCACACGGCCUACCACACGGCCAAGCACACGCCCGUGUGGCAUCGACAAAAUGUUUUUUCGGCUUUCACCAAAACUCAAUUUUCUAUAUUUUGGGAACACACCUGGUACGAUUUUGGUGCGAAACCACUCCCGGGACCUUGAAAACUUAAGAAAUAGCAUCCAAAUGCCCAAUUAGUAGUCAAUUUAUGAAUCAACACAUAACUCGAAAUAACGCACAUAACUUACUGAUGACACGAACGGACACUAGCGUGAUUUAGGCUGUCGCAGUAAACCUUCACCGCUCACCACCUUCUCCCACACCACAAAUUUGUAGGAAUCAAACCUUUAACUACUCACCAUUUCGCCAAAAUGAAAGUUACAGAAAUACAAAAUCUCACUUACCAAAUGAACGAAGAAAGAUAGAAAUCAUAAAACGUAAAGAUUUGACAGUAGUUUAACAAGAUAGGAGGAGAUAGCAAAAAAGAGAAAAGAACGAAAUAUAGAGAAAAGGAAGAAUAGAAUUAACGUCAGAUUUUUCUUUUGGAAGAGAGAAAAUUUUGAAAAAAAGAAAUAAAAUAAAACAAAAUAACCAAUUAGAUUACAAUCCCAACUCCCCACUAACAACUCAAUCUCCACUACCUCAGAAUUUUAGCUCAACCGAAACUCUUUCAGACAACUGAGAAAAAAUUAACAUCCACGCUCACGUAGGGAUUCAAACACAGGAACUCUAACACUCCAACUCCUUACCAUUCAAACUAGCGAACUCAUUCUAAUAUGGAUUAACAGACAAUAUUAUAUAAGUCCACUCAACAAGGAUAAGGCUUGGAUCUAAAAUAACAAAAUUUUGGCAAAAGGGAGACUUGAACCUAAGACCUCAUACACACACCUAGAAUACUUAACCAUUGAAGUAGAUACUCAUUUAUGUAAAUUUUUACAAAACAAACUGAAAAUAUUUAGGGCGUUACAAAGAGAGAGCAAAAAUUUAAAGGGAACAAAUGGGCCUUCAAUUGGGCUCGGACAAAAAUGGGUGUCUACAUAAAGCAUAUGAUUUAAUGGCUAAAAAUCUAGUUUUCAAGACUAAAUAACGUUUAAAACUAAUUAGAAGUUCAAUCGUUACCUUAGAUGACAAAAAACCAAGCAUUUGAUCAAAAAAGCAAAAAAAACCACAAGCUUGACAAUAGAGGAAACUUUGGUGUUUUAGGUGCUUUUUCUUAGUUUUUAUAGAGGUUUAUAACUUAAGAGAUGAUAGAAAUCAAAAGGAAUUAGGAUUUAGACCUCAAAAUUGAUUGAAAUAGCAAGAGAGAAUAAAAGAUAGCAAAGCACAAAUUUUGGGGUUGGUUUUACGUGAAAUAACUUGGAGAACGGAGGUUAUUUAGCUUGGAUUUUAAAAUUUGUUUAAACUGCUUCAUAAAUAUUCUCAAAUUUGAAUAUUUUACAAAUCAAUCCUAUUUUCAAAAUUAAAGGUAUUCAAAACUCAUUUUCAGAAAUUGAUUUAAUUUUCUAAAAACCAUAGUUGAAAACAUUAUUGAUAUUCCAUGUCACAAAAUUUCGAACACUCUAAGGCUAAAAUUCUUAAAAUACCCCUAAAACUCCUAGGCUCUAUUUUGGGGUGUUACAAAACUCUAAUCUAAUCUAUUCAAACUUGAAAUCUAACCUUAAAAUCAGGUUUAGGAACUCCUAAAAACUUAAAAACCUUCAACAACUCAAGCUCUUACACACACAUUCUCUCUCUCUAAAGCUUAUCAAGCCCUUAACAAUGUUAUCUAAGAGAACUAGCUCUAAAUUGUCAUCUAACUUGAAAUCUAACAACACAUUUUUAAACUUAAAACUUAAGACUAGCUUAAAAACAAUAAGAAAAUCUCGAAUCAAAGUUUUCUCUCUUUAGCUUGAAAAAUGCUAAAAGAAAAGGAGAAACACAAGAAAAUUUAAAAAAAAAUAGUUUUCAAGAAUUAGAAAUCAUAACUAAAUGUAAGAAAACUCAUUACCUUGUUGGAAAACAAAGAUUGAAUCAAAGAAAUCAAAAUAUCACUUCACUCUCUUCUCUUCCAAAUCUAACGUGAACUCAAAGAGAAAAGAAAAGAAAAUAUUCAAAAAUCUUAAAUGAAAAUCCUUGUUUUAAUAGAAGAUUUUUAUUGAAAAUCAAGCUCACAUUUCAUUUAAAUCGAUAGAUAUUAAAUCCUUGAGAGAAUUUUAGUGAAAUUUUGGAGAAAUGAUCGUGAAAAUAGGAGAGAAUUUGACCAUUCCCUCCAACUAUAUUUCAAAUUGGAAUAUUUGUUAUGAGGGGAUUGGGAUAAUUACUAAUUUAGGACCUCUCAUCACAUAAAUGUUUUUUCUAGUUUUCACACAUUGACCCUACUAGUUUUUCUAACCUUACAAUUUAGUCCAUAAUCCUUAAAUCUAACUUAUCAGUUCUAACCAAUUAUUACCUCUAAUUAAUGAAAAUAUAUCAAUUAAUAAACCACCAAUUCACUAUCAAGCCCAUUCUAGAAAGCGUCUCAUUCUAACUUCACAUAACAAUUCAGUUUAAGAAAUUUAUCCCUAAACUAAACUUCCAAAAAAUUGGGUCGUUACAAUGAUACCAUACUUUUAUGAAGAUUGUAUGUGACAUGCUUGGUUUAUAACCAAAAAAUUAUGGUGAUCAUUGGAAUGAGAGCUUGGUUUAGUGUUUAACUUAAACUAGUUUAAUUGAUUCGAUUUAUUAAUCUACUAACUAGUAUAGGUUGUCAUGUUUGACUAAAUGGGUUGGCUUUAACAUAUUUUUUAGGGUUGGGUUUCUUUAAAGGUGUUUGGAUCUUUCUAACUUGAGGGUUAGUAAGCAUAUGUAAUAAAUAACUUAGGUUAGUUUCAUUUAUAAACUUGGAUUUGUAAUAAAUAACUAUAAAUGGGUCUCAUCGGGUUCUUUGGAAAUGGUUAAUUGGUUUACCAAAGUUUAUCGUUGGAGCAGUUUGACAAUGGAAAAGCUAAGAUGUAGUUAUUGGCAAUUGAUCAAAUUUAAUCAUCUUUGGUUUGUUUCUAAACCUUCUAGUGUUGUUGCUUUCAAUUUACCUUUCUCCUCUAAUGAGCUUUUGCAUAUUGUAGUAUUUGUAAAACUGUUUUCUUAGAAACUUUUAUUGUUAUACUCUAUUGUUCCAUUUUUUUAUUGUAACAUCGCGUGGAACUAUGUUUUUGAAUAGUCAAAGUUAAUUGUUGCGUUGGAACUUUUAACUUGUAUAUGAUUAAUAUCUUUAGUUAAUAUUUUAUUUAGGUAGAAAAUGUGAGACAUUUUUAUGUAUAAGGGAACUAGAUAUAAGGAGUUUAAGUCUUAUCCAAUUGGUAGCGAUUUUGAAAAGAAUAAAAAAAAAAUCAAAAUUGACUUGGACAUUAUAUUGUUAUUGUUAGAUCUAGUGCCCUAAGUGUUGUACUUUCGUUUAUAUACACUUGUCUUUUUUUUAAACAUACUGGUUUAAAAAAAGUAUUCAUGAAUUACAUUAAUACCCUUUGUAUAUUGUCCUCGCAUGGUUUUUGCAUGUAAAGCAAAACAGAAGCAAAUAUUAGCUCACUGGUUGUCCAAUGUUUAACUAAUACAAAGCGGUAUUACGUGAACGGAUCGUAACACGAAAAUACAACUUAUAUUAGUAAAUGAACCUAAACAUGUCAUUAGUCUAACACGAAAUGAGCAAAUCAAUUGAAAGACUAAUAUGACGUAUAUCAAGUCCAAUUGGGGAGAUGUUUUGUCUUGGGCAUCAGAGUGGAUGAAUCCUAGAAGGUAGAGACAUAUAUGUGACUGAUUGGACUAACAGUACAUAAGACAGGACUCAAGAAGAAUAUAUCCUAAAUCCGUUCAUGGAUUUAUUCACUUGUGAUAUUUAUAGUGUGGCAUACCUUAAUCUUUAGUGGAUGAUGGGCUAUGUAUGUGUAACUCAUAUAAUUUUAUAUAAGUAAAAACCUAAGUUCAAAUAGAUAAGGAACCGAAAGCUGGUGCGUUGAGUAUAUGACUUCUAUAGUAUGUAGCAUCAUUCAAAAUAGUGGAAUUCAUAGCCCAAUACAUGGGUAAAUGAUAUCAUCUCAUUGGCAUUACAUGAUAGAUGAAAAGUAAACAUUUUCAUAGAUCGUUUGUCUUUGUGAUGAAUGAAGAUAACAUAAUAUCAUAUUGGGAGAACGGUUUAUCCUAAAGAGAUUAAGGAUAUCCUCUAAGGGUAACACACUUAUGAAAAGGUCAUUGGACGAGUACUGAUCGAGUAGCUUUCGUAAUGGUAUCUACUUAGGGAGAGCUCAGUCAUGAUACUAUAGUAGAAUGACUUCGUGACUAAAUGAGUUUGUAAUUAAGAGGUGAAAAGUUGAAACUUAAUUAUAAAUCAUUUGAGCCUUAAUCACAUAUGUCCAGUUGGUCCCUCCGCUUGCUCAUUGAAACCAAAAAUGAAUUGCAUGUUGAAUCAAAUGAAUAGAAAUGGAUAAAAAUGACAAAGUUAGAGAAAUGGCUUACAUUCGGAAACGAAUGUGGUUUCUCACUAAGUAUGGAAAUGACCUGAGAAUUAAUUUAAGUUAUUUGAAUUAUUAUUUAAUUAAAUAAUUGAAGUUCAAAAAUGUAAUUAAAUUAAUUGUUCAUUGUGAAUCUGUUGAAUGUAGAAAUUAUAUAUUUUUUUCUCAAAGAUUCUUUUACGAUAAAGUUGUCAUGAUUUGAACAGAGUCAAAAUUGGGUUGGGAAAAUUAUUUAAUUAGAAAAUUAAAUUAUUUAAAUUAAUUUAAUAAAUAAUGUCUAUCUUGAGAAAUAGAAAAAAAAACAUGUACUAAGUUGAAUUAAAUAAAAAACUUAUGGGCUAAAAUUACAAGAAGCACAUAUAAUUAAACUCAAUAAAAAAGAGGCCCGAAUCCCCAUUAUAAUACAUAUGAGGGGAAACACACCAUAUUAGUCACCCCUCUCUCCUAGUUCAACUAGGGGAUUGGUCUUUUUUAUUAAAUAGCCAUUAAAUGUAUUUUACUAAUUCAAUUAGGGUUUCACCUCCUCUCCUUAUAAUUAGAUGGCACUGGUAGAGUUAAAAAAGACCAUACGAUAAGUUACAUACUAUUGUUAUUUUACCCGAAAAUAGUGAGAAUUUAUUUCUAAAUAUGAAUUCUAUUUUCCGGAAAUAACAAUUCUACCGGUUUCUAUAAGAGAGAAUUAUUUUCCCAUUCAAAGUAAGAAAAUUGUUUAUGGUUUUGUGUUUGAUUCAUAAUUUUUCGAGCCCACACUCAAAGCCAAGAAUUUUUAGGAUCUGUCUCGCUCAAAGUACAGGUGUUAUUUUAAGAAAAUGUUUAUUGCUAUAAAGAUAAAAACUCAACCCGAUUUUUAAAUAUAUUUUUCCCUGUACAAAGAAACUAUUUUCGAACUAAAUUUUUUCCCAAUAGCUAUCUUAAAGGAUAAUGAGCUAAUUAGAUUUAAAUUUACUUCAAAUGGGAGACUUUAUCGAAUAUAAUAUUUGUUAAGUAACUAAUUAAAUUUAUUUCUAGUGGGAUUGAACUUCUUAAAGAUGAGCCUAUCCUACAUACUUGAACAUGGAUGAAGUUAAAACAAUACAUCCUUUAUUUUUAUUUUUAUUUUUAUUUUUCUAUACAUUAUUUUGUUUUUUAUUUUAUUUUAUAUAGUUGGUUUGCAUUCAAAGGUGAAGUCCAGAAAUAUAGUUUUAAAUAUCUAGAUAUUAAAAGAAAAGUUGUUAUAAAAUAUGGUUGUUGAUGAGUUGAACUUUUGAAAAUUUGGAGUUUGACUCAAGUUAAAAUUUAAAUUUAAAAAUAUCUUAAAAUAAAUAUUAGAAUUAAAUGAAAAUAUUUUUAUUUAAUUUUUUAUUUUAUAAAGGAAUCAUGUGUAUUAAAUAAAAUAAAAUAUUGAAAAUUCACAUUUUUAGGUGGAAUUUAAAAAAGAAAAUUGAACUACUAAAUCUCCUUUUAAAGUUACUCAUAAAUUUUAAAAUUCUUCGAUAUAUUUAUCCAAAUAAAUAAAUUCAUUUUUUAAAUUUUAAAAAUUUUGAUAUAAAUAAAAUUUAUCUUAUAAAUCUCUCACCCAAACACUAUUGAAUUAGCUAGGUUGAGCAUUGAAAUAGAUUUUUUUUUUCUAUUUGCACUUAGCCUUUAAACUUUAUAAACUUGAAAAGUUAGAAUAAAUUUUUUAAUUGGAUAAACUCUUGUGUUACUAUUAAUAUUUUUUUAUCAUAAAAUGAUCGCUUAAUUAUUUUUUUUCUUUUUUAGUCUCCAAUUAUUAAAUGGUUAAUGGAUUGAUGACAUGGAAGCUUAUAAAAUUGGUACAAUAAAAAAAUUUAGCCUUGAAUUUUUACACAUUACUUAAUUUUAUCUUGUUUUACAUAAAAAUAUAAUUUAAUACACAAUAUGUCAAAUAGAAAUAAAAACAAAAAUAUUUCUUUUUUAAAAAUAUGUUUAUUAUUAAACUAUACAAUCACAAUAUACAUUGCCUUCCUUAUAUUUCAAAUGACUAAGAACUAGAUAUAUAUCAAUGACAAUUAAUUCAUUUUUUGAUAGCUUGAGCUGACUAUUGUAAAAAAUCCAAUUUAAAAAUGAUUUUCUUGCACAAUAAAAAAUAAAAAUUUUGAAAAUCGACCCGGCUUGUAAUAUUUAUAAAAAUAAACCCUAGACCGAAAUCGUACUUGUGUUUCGGAUAGACGGAUCCUUGCCAUUCCGAACUUUCAACCAAACGAUCUUCUUUACUAUUCUCGUACCAUGAACUGCUUCGAGUGUGGGCUCGAACCAAUUGAAUCAGAACACAGAACUAGAAUUUCUAUUCUUUUAUGUGGAAAAAAAAUUUCUCUUCUCAAAUAGAAACCGGCAGAAUUGUUAUUCUGAAAAAUAUAUUUAAUUCUAAGAGAAUAAAAAGUCUCUCUAUUUUCGGGCAGAAUAACCAUUACUUAAAGUUACGUUUAUAGCUCUACCAGUUCCAUCUAUUUAUAGGAAGAGAAAGUAGAACUCUUGUUGAAUUAGAGAAGUUUAUUUCAGCUAGAAAAACGAAAUCCUAGUUCUAUUAGGAUGUAGGAGGCGACAACCUUAGUUAAAUAUACUAGGGCUUGUCAUCCCCCCUUAUUACAUAAGAGGCUUUUGGGCCCCUUCUAUAUCAAGUCCAUUCACAAGUAUUUCUCGGGCUUUUAACGCAAUACAUUAUAAUUUGAUACAACUCAAUACUUACUUUUCUAUUUCUCAAAAAUAAAAUUCAAUAUAUAUAUAUUAAAUAAUUUUUUCAUCCCAAUUUUACCAAGGGUAAAUUUUACCCAUGAUGAUUUUACCCUUGGUAAAAUUUUCGAGAAAAUAUAUUUAAUAUUUCACCAUUCAACUUGUUCAUUGUGAUUGAAUGGUUUAUUUUCAUUUUCAACUUUAAAAUUACUCAAAAAUAUAAACUCAUUCUUUUGACCAUUUCUGAGUACUCCAUGUUCAUUUACAAAAGAAUAAUUUCUCAUUUACAUUUUCAUUUCCAUUUUGAGAAAACCACAUUCAUUUCCAAAUGAUUCUAUUUUAGAGAAAACCAUAAUCAUUUUUUAAUUUUUUUUCGUUCCUCUAUUUCUAUUCAUUUUGUUCAUUUCGAUUCAAACACGCAAUUCAUUUCAAGUUUCAAUGAGCUAGCAGAAGGAUUGAUUGGACACAUGCAAUUGAGGCUCAAAUGAUUUAUAAUUAAGUUUCAACUUUUUGAAUAUUAAUUAUAAACUAUUUUAGUCACGAAGUCAUUCCACUAAAGUAUCGUGACUGAGCUCUCUCCAACGACAUACCAUUACGAAAGUAUUUGAGAUAAAAUUCAUUCUUCCAACAUGGUCCUAUUUUAUCUUAUAGUAAGCAUUAUAUCUUUCUUCAUGCAAAGUCAAUCACUAUCAAAUAGUUCUCAAGUCAUCUAUCACAAAGACUAACGAACCAUGGCCACGUUUACUUUCCAUCAACCAUGUAAUGCUAAUAAGAGGAUAUCAUUUACGUAUGUCUCGGGCUAUGAAUUCCACUAUUAUGAUUGACGCUAUAUAAACACACCAGCUUUCGGUUCCUUAUCUAUUCAAACUCAGGCUUUUACUUACAUCAAAGUGUACGAGUCACGCAUACAUCAUGCGCCAUCCACUCAGGAUUUAGGUAUGCAACACUAUGAGCGUCAUAAGUGAAGAAAUUCAUAAACGAAUUUAUGAUAUAUUAUUCUUAGGUCUUGUCAGAUGUAUUGUCAGUCCAAUUAGUCACAUCUAUAUUUCUAUCUUCUGGGAGUCACCUAUUAUGAUACCCAAGAUAAAACAUCUCCCUAGUUAGACUUGAUAGAUAAUAUAUUAGUCUUUCAGUUGGCUUGCUCAUUUCCAAUUAGACUAAGGACAUGUCUAGUUCGUCUACUAAUAUAAGUUGCUUUUCUAUAUUACGAUCCAACCACGUAAUACCACUUAGUAUUAGUUAAAUAUUAGACAACCAGUGAGUAACAUUUGCUUCCUUUUUUCUUUGCGUGCAAAAACCAUGUAAGGACAAUAUACAAAGUAUUAAUGUAAAUCAUGAAUAAUUUUAUUAACCAAUCUGUUUGAAAGAUUACAAGUGUAUCCUCCAAAACCCAACCAAAACAUUAUAGCCAAAUCGUGAAAGUCACAUUGGACACCUAAGCGACAAACUACUCUAUCGACGGUUGGAAACCUUCAAUACACUCUCUUUUAAUAAAACUGUGGUUACCUUUGUUAUUUUGGGAAACAUUUAUUCAUUAAACCAACCUUUUUUAAGUCAAGUUAGUAGAACUAGCGUGAUUUUAGAAAAUCUCUUUGCAUGUCGUGGCUUUUGAAUAGAAAAUACUUUGUUAUCUUGCUUGCAGCAAAAAAAAACAAAUUAUUAAUUUAGACAAGUAACAUGCUCAAUCCAAUUUUAGUAUAUACUUAUAAAUCAAUCCCAAGUAUGAAAAACAUGCAUGCAUGAAAACCCAAAAAACAAAAACAAUCCCAAACCACAGUCCAAAUAGCUUUACAGUCCAAAAACCAAAUAAACUUAGGGAAUUUCGAAUAAAACGAAAAAAAAAUAUUAGCUUGAAAAAAAGUUCAAAGUUCUUCGUACGUCUGCAUGCCAAACUCGAUCCUAAUUCCGUUCAUUACACGAGUUGCUUGAAGUAAUGGGGUGAGCUAACUUGCUUAGUGCCAGUCUUAACAACAAGGCAUUUAACACACGUUUAAGCAUUCACACGCAGAACCAUAAAUCACAAGCAAAUAGCAUUAAUAACAAUGUAAUGAGUCAUGAUCAUAUUAUAAUGCAAAUUGAAUUUCCUACCCCCAACCAUCUGCUACACACCACGAGUUCCCCAAAACCCGUCUGCCAAACUCCAACGAAUGCGAGCAAAGCUCUAUGUGGUAAAACUAUUGAAUGAAUAUAAUUGUAGAAAAUCUGCCAUAUAACGAAUAAAUGUGAUAAAAUCGCCAAAUCUCCUUGAAUCUCCAAUGCAGUGCACUAACUAUGAAUAAAUGCAAACUUAAUAUGCCGUCGAAUUUCCACAGAACUCCCCCAUCAACCACAAUAAUAACCCACCCCAAUGCACAUGAAAUAUGACAUACAAUCUCAUACAUAGACAUAAUUUAAUACUUUCACAAUUUAUUGGCAUGUUCAACAUGCUCUCGAAUUAUCAAAUACUUUUAGUGAAUAGGAUCAUUGUUCCAACUUUCAAUUUACCAUCAAGGUGAUAUCAUUUAACAAAUUACAAUUUCAUGUCUUUUUACGAACUUUUCUGUGUGCAUGUGUAACAAUAUUUUAAACAUUACAUAGAAAAUUACACAUAUAAAUAUAUCUUGCAUAAUUCUUAUUUUCAUUUAGAAUCAUGCUAUACAUACAACUAAUAAUACAUCAAAUUAACUAACCAUUCACAACAAUAUCAACCAUGCAAUCAUUCAGUCAAUUUAGCAACUUUGCUAACAUGCCAAAUAGUUAGGGCUUGAAACAUACCUGGUUCGGCCUUUUACAAUUUUGAUUACUUAGUUAUUUAGCCAAGCCUGAUCAGCAAGCUAAAUCAUCAAUUAUUUCAUUAAAAUCAUUAUUAACAUUCAAUUUUUUGAGUUAGGACUCACACCUUAUUUUACGCUCUUCCGCAAUACACUUGUAAAUCUUGUGGGUUCUCUAAUAAGCUUUAAAAUUAACCUAAAAUAAAAAUUAGUAUUAAACCCAACCAAUAUGCCUCUUAAAUAGCCCCUAAACACCCACUUAUGGUUUCAAUCCAACCAUUACAAUUAUAACUAUUUUUAAGAUCCAAACUAGUUAGGUUUCUUACACUGAUUUGAUGUGAAUUGUACGGGCGAACAUCUUUCGGCUUCACUGUUGGUUUGGGGCAUUUAAGUCAGCACCUAAAACAUUUAAAUACUGUAAAAUAAGUAGCUAAUACAUUAUUAAUUUUUUUUUGAUCAAUUAACAAUCUUUCCCCAAUAUCUAAACCGAAACUAUAAACUAGUUUACAAUCAACCACAUAUAUGCUUCCUGAAUUGUCAAAUUUGAAUUGUCGAUUGAUCAAGAUUGAUUUUCCCUAAUUAAUAUAUAAUUAAAGGCUGAUUAGGAGGGGUUAAAUAACCCAAGAUAACGCUGGAAAAAGAUGGGAAAACUUAAAGAAGCAGUAGCCCACUUUCUUUCCUAUAGACCCGCGCACCACCACCAACGGUGGCCAAAUUGGGGAUGAUUUGAAACCACCUUUAAGAUCACUUAGAAAGCUGGAAAAAUUCCCUUUAAAUAUUUUAAAAUCCCUUAAAUUUCAGGUCUGGAAGUUUGGGUUUUUAACUCACAAGAUUCAUCAAGAAAUUGAGAGAAAAGAAGAACUUACACAAACUAGAUGAUAGGAGCAGGAAUGGCACUUCUUAGCAACAAUGGGAAUCGAUCUUGGAGGUCCAAUAUUUCAGAUUUGGGGCUUAAAAUUUUAUGGAAAAAUGGAAGAAAUGUUGUGAGGAAGAUGAUGCAAGAUCUUGUGGCAAAAAGAAAAUAAAGAGAUGGUAGAACUAGGUGUUAUGGGCGGCGGCAACAAUGGGGAAGAAGGGAAAAAAUGAAAAUUAAUGAGGAGAGGAGGAAGAGAGCGACGGAUAGGGUGGAGAGAAUGGGAUUAAAGGCUGAUAAAUUUGUUUAAAAAUAAUCUUUAUACCUAGGUCAACAGGGUAUGGGUGGCACACACAUUAAAAAAAUAAGGGAUUUUGCAAAAUUUAAUUAUUUUGCAAGGGAAAAGAUUCGAACUUAGGACCUUAAUUUAACUUCCAUGCUUUCAUCAACCAACCAUUGUGUCAUUCCCUUAUUUUUAAAAUAAUUUUACACUUUUAUCCAACUAAAAUUUAGGAUAUUACAACAAGUGUACUUAAGAAAAAAAUACUACAUUUAGGGCACUAGAUCCAACCCUGACCAUCUUUAAAGAAGCAAAUCAAAGCUUGCUUUUUUUAAGUUGUUAAAUUUACAAUUAGAUUAAAUUUAGGGGUGAGCAAAACUUAAUUUGAUUAAAAAAGUUGAAUUACAAGUAAUCGAAUCAAAUUAUUCAGUUAUCUCGAGUCAACUCAAAUAAGUAAUUUGGUUUUUCAAGUUUGAGUCAAGUUGAAUUUUACAAUUUGAAUAACUUGAAUAAAAAAUAGGUGUAAAUAUUCUUUUGGCCCCUAUGAAUUUCGAGAAUAUACAAAUUGGUCCUUCAUUAUCAAAUCAAAUUUCUCAUUUUAAAGUAUUGUUUUUCUCUUAUUUUUGUUUUGAAAGAGUUAUCAAAUAUUUAUGUGCUCUAAUAAGGAGUCAAUUAUAUUGUAACAAGAUUUUAAUUCAAUAUGUUUAAUUUUUUUUUAAUUUAACUCGAACAAUUUCACUAGAUUCAACUUGACUUAAAUUUUGUUUCACUUGAUUCAAUUCAAAAAAAUUCAAAUUAAGUUUGGAUGAUGAAAUAGGACUUGUCAACUUGACUAACUUAAAAUUUUCACUCAAUUCGAUUAUAUGCUUUCCGCUAAUUGAAUUAAUGAAGCAUUUACUCUUUACUUUCAAUCAAUUGAAUUGGCUAUUUUUCAAAAAUUGGGAUUGUUUUGGUUCUUUUUGUUGUUUAUUUCUUCAUUGAAUCAAACGUAAGGACAAUGUCGGAAAGGGCCACAAAGAAAAGCAAAAUUGCAAAAAUGAUCAAAAUACAUAAUGUAUAAACAUUGAGGGUUCAACUUUUUAGAAUCAAGACUAAAUUGGAUCAAUGUAAAAAUAUUAAGGGCUAAAUUUAUUAUUAUGUCAGUAUUAAAAGCUACCAUGUCAACUUUCUUAAAAGUUAUUAUUAUGCCAAUAUUAAAAGCUACCAUGCCAAUGAUUGGGUUGUAACACCCUUAUACCCGACCAGACUAUUGAAUUAGGUAUAGGAAUGCCACAUUGAUUGUCAAAGUAAAAGGCUAUUAUGUCCUAACAAUAGACAAAAUAUUAUAUACUGAUUAUUUUAAUUUAACUAUCAUAACAGUAUUGGCACUACAUAAUGGGAUGAGCCCGAAUGAAUCUUUCAAGCAUUCAUGCAAUUAAAAUAACUUAUUUAUGAAAAACAGCUGCCAAGUAUCAAUAUUGGGCAUGAAGUAUCGGUACCAUUAUUGUAGGUAUCGAUAUAUCUUUCAAUUAUUGAUACUGUUUUGAGCUUCGAAGCUUCAGAAAAUCGAAUUAAAUUCAUUAGUAUCGAUACCAAGGUUGAAGUACCAAUACUUGCCACUAAGUAUCAGUACCUUCGCUAUGGUAUCAAUACCAAAAUAGGUUUCUGUCAUUCGGGAUGGAGGGUAAGUGCUAACUUCCAAACUUUAUCAUUUAAGUCUUUGUACACCAAUUUCCUCAACAUAUUCAAACCAAUCCACAAUUGCAAGCAUAUAAAUAAAUUAUAACAUUAACAAUUCAAACUUAACACAAACAUGUUAUGGAUUUGGAUUAAAUUUACAAAAUUGAUCAAGUUUACAGAGUUUAUAUAUUAGUCUUUUAUAUCCAUAUCCCAUGCCAAAAUACCUAUAUACAUGCCAAACUAUACCAAAAGUUAGUAUCAUACUCUUCUCCAAACUUGGCGAUGUGAUAAGAUGAGCAGCUCCCAAUGUAACAACUUUGUUUUCAGUGGUAUCGAAAAUUGUGGUUUCAAAAAUCCAUUUUUCAAAGAUCGAGUCUAUAAAUAUUAUUUAUUAAUAUUUAUGAUUCAAUUAUAGUAUUAUAUUGAACUCUAGUCCGAUGAAUUUGUUAAUUCAAAAAUUAGUAGAUGUAUAAGUGAAUCGACUUUAAAGUUGGUGGGUUUCAAAAAUAAGGUGUUGGGAUCUCUUUUCCGUAAACCGAGUCCAUAAAAAUUUUUUAUUAAAUAUUUACGGAGUUAUUAUAUAGGUAGAUUAGAUUUUGGGUAAGUAGUUUCACCGAUUUAGCGACUAACUAAGGUACAAGGACUAGUGUGUAAAAAAAUGUAAAAGUUAAUUAUUAUACAUUUUAGUUACUUAAAGACUAAAAUGAUAUUUAGGAGACCUAAAAUAGAAAUUAUGCCAUGUUUUGAGAUGGCGGACGAUUUAGUGUGAGAAUUAUGAGAAUACUAAUAAAAUUUUUAUAUUUUAUAAUAAUAAAAUAAGUAUUAGGUAAGUAAAAGAAAGGAAAAUAUGUCAUUAUCUUUUUCAUUUCUAUUUUCCAUCACCCCAAAACAAAGAGAUUAGGGGAGAAGCCAUUGUUGAAUUCUCCAACUUUCUUCUUUUUCUUGAUCAAUAAUUAAAUCAAUCAGAAGAUAAGCGCGAAAAAGGAAAAAUUACGGAGUAGUGCCUGAAGUCGCGUUUGUUGCUGUUUUGUUUAGGUAAGUUUGUAUGGACUUAUUUUAUUAAUUAUUGAUAUCAUUUUCUAUUAUCUUGUUUUAUUAUUAGUUAGAAAUGAUAUAUAUAUAUGCACACACAAAGUUUUUGGCAUCAAAUGGGUUAAAUCGUAAUAUAUGAAAUAUGUGAUAAAUAUGAAUAGAUGUAUUGUAUUGAAUGAUCGUGAAAAUUAUUGUAUAAAUGAUUGAUGUGUAUAUGAUGAUAUUAAGGUUUAAAAUGUAUUUGGAUUGUUUUCUAAAUAAGAAAAACAUGCAUGCGACUACAGAGAUUGAAAUAGAAUAAGUAUGGCAAUAAUACCGUGUGAAAUUAAUAGUUAUUUGAAAUGGAAGAUUCAUAGAUUGUUAAUUGAAUCAUGUUACAUGUAUAUGACAAUGUUAUGAUAGCUGAGAAGAUUAGAAAUGGAAUCAUGGUCCUAGUGAAAUUAGUAAACAAUUAGAAUAUACAUACAAUAAGUACUAUGUAUAGGUGCCGAUUUUCAUGCCAUAUAAAUAAAGCAGAUACUAUGUACCGGUAUUGGCUAUCAUGCUAUAUACAUACAAUAUGUACUAUUUAUCGGUGUUGGCUUUCAUGCCAUGUAAAUACAACAGGUACUAUGUACCGGUGUUGGCUAUCAUGCCAUAUACAUACAUGUACUAUGUACUGGUGUUGAUUUUCUUACUUUAAUUCUUCGGGCAAAACAAUUCAUUAAAUGAAUAUAAAGAAAUGAAUGAAUAAGUCUUUUGAUUGUAAAAUUAUAAGAUGAACAUGGUUUUACAUGGUAUUCAAUGAUUUACUAAUGUAACGAAUUAUAAAGUGAUUUGCUUAACUAUACAUUGAUGUUGGACUAACUAAGUUAUUUGUAAUGUGAAAUUGCACAAGGUUGCCAAGGGUAAUUUUAUGUUUUAUGUUAUUAAAAUUUCAACUACUUAUGUUAUUUAAUGCUGAGGUAAGUUAAGUUAAAUUUUCGCACAAACUUACUAAGCACUAGCAUGCUUACGUGUUUUCAUUUCUUUCCCUGUAGAUCACCGGACAAGGUCAGAUUAGUCAGAUCACACCAAAGCUCACAUUACCCGUCUUACGGUUUGGUAGACCUUUGUUCAUUUUGGCCCAAUUAUAUGUAGCAUGUACAUAGGUGUGGUUGUGGAUAUAGAUGUAAAUCUAGAAAUAAUUCUUUUGGUUGCUAUAUGUGAUGUUGAUUUUGAUUUUAUGUAUAUGAAUGUAUGGUUGGUACUGUGAUUUUGCUAUAGUUAAUUGACUUGAAUGGUAUCUUAGUACUAAAAUGGUAUGAUAGAUAGUAAUGUUUUGAGAUGAUGAUAUGGUGUCUUUGAAUGUGUAUUGCUUUGAGAACAUGAAUGGUUCACAUAGUUUUGAUGUGAAAUGGUGCCAACGAGGCAUAUUGGUUAGAUGACUAUAAGGUUGUUAUAUGCUAUGCUUUGGAAUGAUUUUGUAUAGGUUUGAAUACUCAUGUAUACCAUUUGUGCCAAUGGUUUGACUUGGCACAAAAUAGAUACUAAAGGACCACAUUUUACAAAAAAUAGAUUUCUUGUCGCAACAUGGGGUUCUUCUCAUCGCAACGUCGGUUGGAUAGUUUGUGAUGUCUCGACAUCAAGUGGACCGACAUCGUAACGGGGCUACCUUGGUGACGUCUUAACGUGGGAAAAGCCUUGUCACGAUGUGGAGUCAACAUUUUCAAAACUUUACAAUUCGGUCUUAAUAUGUGUUCAAGUCGCCAAAAGAGCUUUCGUAAGCUCGAUUUAAGUUCGGGUUUAGUUCUGAAUCACAUUAUAAAUGUGUUUAGGUUAUAAAUGAUUGUUUGAUUGACAAAAUUUCUAUAUUUUCAUCGGUAAUUGCUCUAGUCAUGUUUGUAACAUCUCAUAGCUCAAGUCCGAUGACCGAAUGGGGUAAGAGGUGUUAAACAUGAUCUUUGUCCUAGCUUGUUUGAUUAAUUUCUACCUACGCAUUGAAAAUAAACGCAUUAAGCCGGUGAAGGCUUAGUAAGUACAACAAGAAUUUAGAUCUUUCAAUUAUUAAUAACUAGUAUAUUCUUAAUAAACAUAAACUUACUUCAUUUCAAACCUAGUCCCUAAUGAUCAAAUUUUUACCCUUGCAGAACUUACCGUGACAUUUUAUCGGUUUCUUAAUUCACAUUUCAUAUAGUAGCCCAAUGUAGACUAAACUAAACACUUAAGAUAUACGAAAUAAAUACAAAAGUGCACUGAGGUGCAUUCACGUAGCAGUGAGCACCGUAGUGCAUUUACGUAGUAGUGAGCACUGUGGUGCUUAACAGAAUAGUAAGCGCGCUAAAAUUCCUUUAUGGCAUGUCAUCUAUAUCCUAAUAGUUCUAAUCUCGUCUACACGGGCUUCAUUUUUAUUGAACCAUGGAAUUUAUUCAAAUGUAGUAUAACUUUUCAAUCUCACAAUUUGGUCCUUUUCUUCAAAAUACAACUUGACUUGUAAAUUUACUUCAUAAUUAAUGCACAUAACAACAUCACUUUAUCAUUUUUCUAUUUAAGUCCCUUUUUCAAUUUUCAAUAUAAACAUUACAAAUUCACAACAUAAACUAUAAUUUAAAUCUUUUACAUAAAUUUUCAUUAAGGAUUACUAUACAUAUAAAAUUUAUACUAAUAAUUAAAUUAUUCAAUUAACAUAGUUGAUGAUUAAACUUCAAGUCAAACAAAGUAAAAUUAUUUAAGUACUUACAACCAAGGCUUGGAUGAUGUGUUUUCCUUCUUCUUACUCAUUGAUCACUUCUUUUCCUUUGUCUUCAAUUUGAGCCUCACAUUUCUUAUCUUUUUCUUCAAUCCCAUAUAAAAAAACAUAUAAUAUCUACAUGUUAAAACCACAAUCAAAUAACGUUUAUAUACUACCUUAUUAAAGUAAACAUGUAUUUCAUGAAGAUUUCAUCAUCUCUUACUUUAAUCACUUGAAAUCAAAAUCUAAUUCUUAUUUUCUCUUUCCUUCAACACAUUUAUGGAGUCUCUUCUCAUGGAAUUAAGAUGACUACUAGUCUUCUCUAUUGCAUUUUCUAAGAAAACAACAAAGAAAUUAAAGGAUUUGAGCUUGAAAUGACUUAAAAAUAGUGGAAGGACCUAUUUGGAAUAAAAGAAAAGGUUUGGAUGGAGAGAUUUUGAAGGUGACAGUUUGCAUUCCAGAUGAAUGCUUUUCAUAUUUCUUCAAAUUUUUACAAAAUUCCAUGAAAAUAUCUCUUUAUUAAUCAUUAAAAUAAUAGUUUUGCAAAUUGGUCCACCAAUGGCAAUUUAACACAAUUUCAUCCCAUAAUAAUUAUGUUUCUAUAAUUAUCUCAUUUAUCUAAUUACCAUUUUAUCCUAUAUCUUUUCUACAAUACAAUUUAUGAAUCAUAUCUAACUUAAGUAAAAUUUCACUUCUGGUCCUUCCUCUUUUCUCACCAAUUCCAUGUAUUUCGUUUCUAACUUUUAAAUUCCUACUUUUGCCACAACACUUUCUAUUCUUCUACAAUUUAGUCAAUAUCUAAAAUUAAUUUUCCUCAUCUAAAAGCAUUUUCUAAUUUCCUAUUGGCAUUAACUACUUUUUAUAUUAACACUCAAAUUUCCUAUAUUGUUCGUGUCUAAAAAUUCUCUAAUAUUCUUAACCCAGCAUAGCACUGUACCUAGUUCUGAGUCAUAACGCAGAUGUAACAUAGGUGACCAAAGAAGAAAUUUACUAAUAGUUGGGUGACUACUAAUGUAGUUUACCUAAUUUAAUUAAUGAAUUGACCCUACUUCAAACCAAACAAACCAGUAUAAACACAAAUAUUUUUUUAACAACUUUUAAAUACGAAAUCUCUUACCUUAGUUCAAAUCUAUAUAAUUGAAGUUUUGAUUAUUAUUUUAUCUUUCAUGUUUCUAUCAUAAGAAAAUAGAUACUAAACAUGUAUUCAUAUUUUCAUUAUUUAAAACAAUUUUUUUGUUUCAUCUUUUUCAAUUUAAAAAAUAAAAUAUAUAUUUAAAUUUUUUAAAAUGAAAAUAGAGAAUAAAAGCAUAAAAGCUUUUUAGAAACCAAAUGGGUCUUAAUCUAAUUAAAAUAGUUAAAAUAUACAUAAAAUACAUAAAUGUUUGAAAAGAUGCAAAAGUAAUUUGUAUUAAAUAUUCUAAUAUUUAAUUUUGAUUUUUUUAUAAUUAAUGUAAAUAUACUUAUUUGAUUUAUUUGAAAGGUUAAUAUAUACAAAUAAGUUAAUGAUAAUGUUACAAAAUCCAUUAUGGUGUUUUCUUUUUGAAAUUCAACUUCAUCAUUUCAAACCACAAAUUUUACAAGAGAUGAAAACAAAAAAAAAAAAAAAAACUUAAAGAGGGACCAGAUAUAAAAUUUAUUAAUGUUGUUUAGAUAGUAGUUGAGAAAACUAUAUCAUAAAUAAUGUUAAUAUUUGUAUUAGUGAGGGGUAAAGUGUAGAAAAAUGUAGGGUGUUCUUGCAGCAUUAUUCAUUAUUCAUACAUACAACUGUGGGUGCUUUUCGUUGUUUUGUGCUUAAUGAGAGAAUGUGCUGUUCAUAUCCCAUCUUCACCCACUUACCCUAUUCUACAUUACUCUCGAACCACUUAAGAAAAAAGUGAAAUCAACCUCCUCACAUGGAUGCUUAGAUGAGUGGACAGGAUGGGUUCAGAGGUAUUCUGAUGAGAAAGAUCUAAUUUUGAGGGCCCAUUUUAUGUUACAAGAAAUGAAGCACCUCGCUCUCACUCUCAAAAUGAUGAAGAAGCUGUAGAAGGGAAAGUUAGAUCGUUUGAAAGUUGUUACUCGCAUUUCACUCUCCAAGUAAAUUGGAGAAACCUAUUAAUUUCCUCCUACACCAAUCAUGAGCAUUUCCGUUUUUAUAUAGGGAUAUCAUAUUUUAGAUUUUUAAUAAUAUUUUUUUUAAAUUAAACUCUCAAUGAAACAUAUUAUUUUAAUCGAAGAUUUUGCCUCACAUAUUUCGAGAAAAGUUUAAAAGGAGUCACGAAGUUUAGAGAGCGUCUCGAUUGAUGUAGAUAUAUAAUCCACAAGCUCACAAAAAAAAGUGUCAAUACUAUUAAAAAUAUUAAUUAACGGUACGCCGCGCAAUAUACAUAAUUAAUAUUUUUAACCUCGCUUACAAAUCGUGGUAAACCCCUUUAAACUCUUCUCAAAACAUGGGAGACCAAGUAAAACAGUACCUUUAAUCAAAGGUGGAACACUAACAACGCGUCUAACAUUUUAUUAUCAUAUAUUAAUUAGUGGAAUAAAAUCUUGAUGGCUUCAAAAUCUGUUGUUUGGUGAGGUGUAUACGUAACCCACUUCUUUGACUAAGAAUGUGUAGAGAGGGCAUAUUCCAGGCUUAUUCCCGAUUUGAUGAAUGUAUUGAUAUGAUAUUAUUAUGAAUGUAUCAUGUGGAUUGAGCCAGCUGUUUGGAGGUGCCCAAAAUACGAUGCUCCACUAUUUAUCAGUUCCAAAAUAAAUAAAUAAAAACUGCCUCUAAGAUCAUAAGUUUUAUAAUCGCAUGCUAUGCCUAUGCCAUGGGUAUCUGGAACCAUUUUCGUUAAUCAAAACAUCUAAUGGAUGUAAUUUCUCAUCUCCAAAAACAGAAUUAUCUUUUAAAACUUUUCCUACCAUUAAAUUUAUAAUUUAAUUUAUUCAUGGUCGGUUUCACUUACGGAAAAUAUUUUAUAUAUUUUUUAGUUUGUUCUAUAGAAAACGGUUUAAUGACUUACAAGUUAUUAAAAAUAAUAAUUUUUUAUCCUUGUAAGCAUAAGUCAUCUUUCCAAAAAGAGUUCCAUUAUGAGUAAUUUUACAUAAAAAUUAAUUUAAAUCAAACCUAACAUUAUUAUAUUAAUAAUCAAUUUUAAUUUUUUUUGAAAAUAUUAUACUGUUCAAUAUUAUAAACAUAUAUAUUUAAUUAUUUACAUUUAAUAAUGUAAUUUUAUUUAAAUAAUAUUAUUAAUAUUAUUGGAAAAUAUUUAUAUUAGCACUUUAAUAAUAAAUAUAUAUUACAAUUUAUAAAUAUUUAAUAAUAUUUUUUUAUGGUAUAAAAUAUGAAUAUUUUAAUUAUAUAAAUAUUAUUACUUGUUUAAAUCAUGCUUUACUUCAUUUAUCCCUUCCAACUCUAAGGGGCAUUGGGUUGAUCUAAUCUUACAUUACUACCUAUAAUGUUACAUUCCGAAAUAGGAUUAAGAUGCUUGGAUUCCUAACUAGUGUCAAGAUGUUGUAGUAUAAAGUCUAAUCUCAUUACGGCCUCUUUUUUAGGUUAUCUAAGAUUCAGUGCGGAAUUUGAAAUUGAAGACAAAAUUACUCUUUGUUCUUAUUACAUUAGUCAAUUUAAUCCUUUUUUUACACAAAAAAUUUAAUUGUAAUUAAAACCCAAAAUCUUUUCUUUCUUUCUUUUUCUUACCCUUUGGAAACCAAAAUAUAAUUCAUUUUCAAUAUAUUUUUAAUUAAAUAUAAUUCAAUUCGAAAAUAGCAAAUAUAUCAUAAAUAAAAUGAAUUAAAACUAAGAAUUAUUUUUAAUAUAAAAAUUAAAAAGUUUAAACUUGUCAUCAAAUAUAUUGAAAUGAAUGUUGAAGGUCUUUACCUUCUCUAUUGCAUUUUUUUUUUUCAAAUCGAUAAUUAUAAAUUGGGUGUUGAAGAAAAUCUAAAUGAUUCAGUAUAAACUUUGUUAGUUCAUAAUCAACGUGUUAUAUAAAAAAAAAUUGAACUAAAAUAAUUACUCGUGCAAUGACUGAAGCCUUCUAAAAUAAUUUCUUCUAUUAGUUGUAUUUAACAUAUUUUAAGGGUCAUGAGUAUUAUCUUGUUAUAUUUAAAUCCAAUUAUUUUAAUUUUUGAUUUAUGUUUAGGUGAGUGUUUAUUAAUUGGGUUAAGAUUUAAUACAUUGCCAGUUAUACAUAUUUUUAUUGUAUAAUUAAUCUUAAAAAUGGUCGCAUGUUUUUAAAAAAAAUAUUUUAUUAUAUCCUUAUUAAUCCUUUUAUCUUGCUUAUGGAGAUUGAAAACUCAACUAGCAUAAUACCAAAUAUUUUUCCUUAUUAAUUUUUUUAAUAAUAAAAAGAUGAUAUGCCAAGAUAAAAUUAAGUGUAAUUAAAUGAAAUUUUUUUAAGUUAUUAUAAUUUUAUGAAAAAUGUAAGACUAAAAUUGUUAAAGAAAGUGAACUUGUACAAGAUAAAAUUUAUUUUUAAGUAGAAACAAUAAAUUCCAUCAACCAAACACAUGAAUCUUACAUUCUAUUCAAAUGAACUAAAUAAGGUAAUCUUACAUUCUCAUAUAAUCCUAUUACAAAACGUAAUCAAAAAUUCGGUAAACCAAAUGUACACUAUGUGUCGCUAUCGACUCUCAUAUAUGUAAUAUAUGUAAUUUAAGUUAAAUUUUACUCGAAGAUUGUUUAUUAUUAAGUUUAUAUAUGAUAUUAAUUAUUAUAAAAUAUGAUCUUAUUAUUAAAAUAGUUUGUAACAAAUAUCUUUAUAUGGUAUUUAUUUCACGAAAAAGAAUUUUUAAAAAUGAAUUAAAGAAGGAAAAAAUAAUUUACACAAAUGAUUUAAACUUGAAAAAGAAAUUCAACAGUUUAUUUUUGGAAAAUUGUUUUGAUGAGCCUAAAAUUAAGGGUAAAGUUUGAUGAAUUGAGGGAGGUUGAGCGGGUGUUUAUCAUUGGUCUGGACUCUGGAGAUGCUUCACCCCGCAUCAUUAACCAAAAAUAAAAAAUAAAAUUCCCCAGUUGCACUUGUCAAAUGUUAUGAUAUUAUUAUUUCGAAUAAAAGAUAACGAUCGUAUUAAUAAUAAAUUGAUAGCCAUCAUCAUGGCUAGUUGGUGAAUCUCCCAGGGAUCAGGGGCGGCACUAGGGCAAGGCCGCCUUAAAUGGUAAAUUUUCAGUUCUAAUCCCUUUAAAAUAAUAAAAUUAUAAAGUUAAUUAUAAAACUGCAUGUUGACCCUCUAAAACUUUAUUCCGACGACCAAAUGGUUUGAAGAGAAAGCUUCGAAGCUAAUUUCCCCAGUGCAUAUGCAGCCAACAUGUUGGUACACAAGUCACAAAAAUUUAGCCCUCUUUCGCCUCAGCUCCUCUACGUACUUGGAUAAAUCACCAUCUGCAUUCAUCAAUUUCCAGAAUGAUUGCAUGCAGAGGCAUAUCCCAUUGCUUCAGCCAGUCAUAUCAACAUGUAGAAGUGCUGUUACUGCCCCUUAAAGGCUCGAAAUUGAUUUUUGAUUUGGUGCAGUGAUUCAGCUUUCCAGACAAAACUCACCAUUUAUUCUUCCUUGCUAUCUACCUCCACUUAAUUCAGCUCUCCUGAUUUCAUAUUCAUAAAGACUCGCCCAUUAAUAACUUUAUUAUGAUUAUAUCGAUUUUAAGUAUAACUCCACAUAUAAUUAUAUUAAGAUUAUAACAAUAUAUUUUUAUAAUAAUAAUAAAACAAAAUUUUAAUUUUAUAAUUUAUGUUGCUUUUAAAAAAAUCAAUAAGAAUUAAAGCCACUAUGUACAAGAAUGUUAGUCUAAUUAAAAUAAACAUAAAUUAUUUAUUUAUUAAAAAAAAGGAAAACAAAAGAGUAUAUAUGUUUAAAAAAGAAGUAAAUUAUGUUAAAGGUAUAAUUUGUAUUAAUUUAAUAAUUAAUAUAAAUAUAUUUUAAAGGUAUCAUUGUUGGCUGGUGACUCUGUCAAUAACAGAAAUGGUGGAACUACGUUUGAUUCAUGGUAUCCUUAAUCGUGAAUGGAAGGUGCACAUUCGCCAUGUUCCUAGAUCCCAAAACACGGUUGCUGAUCAUAUGACAAGACUUGCGAUUUCUGGUCAUCCGAGUUUAGUCAUUUUUGAAGAACCUCCAAUUUUGAUCCAAGGACUUCUAUUAACUGAUAAAAUGAGCUUUCAUAAGUCCUAAGAUGUGUGUUUUUUUGUAAUCGCUUUAUGAUGUGAUUUUCUACCAAAAAAACACAUUUUAAUUUUUAUAAUUGAGAGUAGAGAUGGGAAAACUAGGUAUUGAACCCAAACUCUCAUGCCACACCGCAUACUUUUGCCACUAAGUUAAAAAAUUGUUAGCUUCCAAUACAAUUAAUCGUUACAAACAUUGAACUGAAUAACUAAAAGAACAUCACAUUAAUUAGCAUAAAUAUACUUACUUGAUUGAUUUCAAUUAAAUUAAUAAUUAAUGAGUUUUGAAUUACUGGAUUUAUCAUUUAAAAGAAAAUCAAAUUCUACCGUUUUAGGCUAGAAACUUUAAGAGGGGCCAACUAUAAAUUUAUCUUAUUUUCUAUUAGCUACAUAUAGUAAUUAGGAUCAAUCAGGAAUAUUACUGUUUUUUAUCAGUGACGAAAAAAAAAAAACCUUUCUUGAAAAAUCUUUAGGGGACCAAGUCACCUACCAACACUUUUAUAUUCUAACCAUUUAGCUUAUUCUAGACUAAUCUCCAUUAAGCCCCCACAACCACAAGAAAAGAUGAUGACUUGAAUUAAUACAUAGGCAAUGCCAGAUUCACGUUACAUGUAUACUAGUGUGACAAUAAUGCGGUCCACAUGGAUGCGCCUACCCAUGUUUAUAUGAAUGAGGGGACAAUGGUUUUGGUUGUUUCGAUGAGAGGAUAGGAUUUGCUUCAUUAACAUAUAUCACUUUUGUUGCACUUCCUUAUCUGGAAUCCAAUUUGAAUCUUUUCAGGGACCACUUCUUUCACAACAAAUAAACUUAUGCUCUUCGACCCAUUGUUUUAAUUUGGUCAAAUUAUGCUAUUAGAUCAUGUACUUUGUAUAAAUUGUAGAUUUUGUACUUGUACUUUAACUUAGUCAUUUUCAGUCUCUAUACUUUUAGAAUUUUAAAAUUUUAGUUUUGAUCAAAUGGCAAGUAUUAAAUUCAUUAAGUUGAGUUGUUACGUUAAAUAUAUUAUUGCAUGUGUGGUUACAUGUCAGCUUGCUAUCUUCGCGUAUUACUCAUAAAAAAAUAAGUUACUAGAUUUAACAACUAUCGUUUACAUUAAGACUAAAAUUUUGAAAUUCAAAAAAUAUAGCGAGUUAGAAUGAUUUAGUUAGAGAAUAUGAGCUAAAUCUCUAAGUUUACGCAUUAUACAAGAUUAAUAGUAGAAUUUAACCAAAUAGAUUUAACUGUUAUUGUUUGGUCGAGCAAAAUUUUUAAAAUUCAAAAAAUAAAAGACUAAAAUUGAUCAAAUUAAAGAAUUUGACUUUUUAAAUUUCAUAAUAGCAUUUCACUUUUCUUCAAUCAGUUUGGAGCAAGGUGUUGAUUCAUUUGGUCCUUUUAUUGCUCAUACACCAAUGAAUGUAAGCCUUUUCGUUUUGAGGCCUACCACUCAAAUCUUAUCGCUAUCACUGCCUUUUUUAUAAGAUUAAUUAUUGUUGUAUAUAUAUAUAUGUUGUUACUAAAGACAAAGGGGUCUAACUUUUAAGGAAAAAAUUAAAAAAACACAGGGGUAUACAAAAUAAUAAUCCUUAAACUACAUUUAUUCAAACCAAGAUGAAAAACGCGUUCAAGAGAUUUCUAACAAUGAAGGCAUAGAAUACAUUUAAAAAGAAAGAAAAAAAAAAAAACCUUCACAAGAAAGGCAUGCAAUUAUUGGCAAGUUGUAAUGAUUAGACAGAUACAGCUAGCUUAAGUUAUGCUAACGUAGCAAUUGCGGCGGCCGCCUUCUCAUUUUGUUUGUGCUCUUCUUCAUCCAUUGUAUCACAAAUUGUUCCACCUCUAGUCUCCGGUAAUCCCACCAACGGGAGCCCGCAAAUUCCUAUCACCAACCCGAAUACCCCGAACGAUAUGAAGUUAUUUGUCCUCCCAGCGGCCACGAGCAGUGGGCUGAACACCCCCCCAAACACCAGUGCUUGCCUCACCAUUGAUAUUGCCGAGUUCCUCACGCAUGUGGGAAACAGCUCUAAUGUGUAUAUCAGUGACAUGUUGAAGGCCGAGCAGGCACUGAAGAAGGAUAUCAGCUCCAUUGCUAUCUGUAAACUUGGCGACACCUUCCCCACCACCACACACAACACGCUGCACACCCCGCUUAAUAUUGUGAAACCCAACAAUGAGUCUUUCCUUUUCAUUUUCCCUAUAAGGAAGAAUGUAAUGAGUGACGCUGGCAACUCGGAUAAGGCGUUUAAUGUGACGCCCAAAUAGAGAUUGACGGAUAGAUUUCCAAGGCCUAAUGGCAUGCCGUAGUACACCAUCCCAAUCCCAAAACCUCCCACCAUCACGGCCGCUAGCCUUUUUGCCGCCCACCUCUUGUUCAACAGUAUCUUGAUUGUGGAGUAAAUAUCUACAUUCCAUGAUUCCUGCUCGAUUAGGACAUUGGAGAAGCUCAUUGUUAUGGGACUUUGAUUAGCCUGAGCCAUGCUCUUGAGUGUUAACACUGCUUCUUCUUUGCGUCCUCGGACGAACAGCCAUCUUGGGGACUCAUGAACUAAGAAAUGAACUAAUAUACAGUACAAAAUUGUUGGAACCGAAAUCCACAGAUACAGUGUUCUCCAUGAAGAACCUCUAUUUACGUAUGCCAUUACCGGCAAUGAAAGAAACCCUAAAGUAAAACAAAAGAAACCAACAACGCCGACCUGGCCGCGCCACCGUUUUCCUACUAGCUCGGUUGAUAACACGAGGGCACAAGUUCCAACAGUUGCGCGGCCAAACCCGUUAAUGAAUCUCAGGAGAGAAUAGAUCCAAAUAUUGGGUGAAAAAACGGUGAAGAUUGAAGAAAAAGACAUCAUGAGACAUGAGAAUAAGAGCAUGUUUUUGCGGCCAAGAGUGGAGUCAGCAAGCGUUGCAAGUGCAAGUCCGCCUGCAAGGCAACCCAUGAAGAAAGCAGAAGCAGGGAGGCCAGUGAUGAAAGAAGGCGCACAUUCCAGGCCCCAUUCCGCUAUGAUUGAUGUGUGGGAAGGCCAAUCCCAAGACCAUGAAUUCUUAGGGAGCUCGCAAAUGUUGGACAAAGCGUUACAAACAGACUCGUCUCCGCCUUGGGUGCAGUGCCAGGAUGGCUCAGCAUCAGUGAAUACACUGAUGAAGGUUUGCUGAGCAUCAAAGACCC